Molecule: RNA transcript, 55142 nt
Organism: Gallus gallus (chicken)
Lineage: Eukaryota; Metazoa; Chordata; Aves; Galliformes; Phasianidae
Exons: 5
Source: RefSeq, a predicted model, not a curated record
GAAAAGGGCAGCGGGAAGCCGUCCUGACGCCCCUCACCUCCUCCCGUCCUCCGCGCCGCUCCGCUCACCCAAACUUCCGCCCUCACGCCCUAAAACGCGGCGUUUCCACGCAGAUUACGCGCCGCUGGUUCGCGGGAGGCAGCGGAGGAGCCGGGGGAGCUAUGCCGGCGGGAGGGCACGCAGCGGUGUGCGUGGCAGCCUGACUGGGGAGAGACGCUCUCUCUCUCUCUCUCUCUUUUCUUUUUUUUCCCCCUUCUUUUUUCUCUUUAAACAUUAUGAUUUUUUUAUUAUAAUUAUUUUAAUUUUAUUUAUUUGUUUGUUUAUUUUGCAAUUGUCGACCAGUUGUUUGGUUCAGAGGAAAGUUACCCAGAAGGGGAAUGCCACCCAAGGACAGCACUCGGCAGGAGCCGCUCUUCAGAUCACGGCUGGAGAAAGACACCUACAAAAAACUCCACCGCUCGCUGCGUUUGUAAGUUUCCAAAGAAAUGAGAGCCUCUUUUCCUUUUCUCCUGGAAGACGCAAGCCACGGCUCUUCUUUAGACUUUUCUAAUUUGUUCCGUCCGUCAGAGCGGCACUAAGAGAGGUUUGGUGCAAAUUCAUUAUCUCUGGCAACGCGCAGCGCGGAGCAGGAACUGAAAAAGACCGUGGCAAUGCGUGAACAAUGGGGCUUCAGUUCGUCGGCAACAAAAGCAGUGGGGAAAUCGGUUGGAUUUCAGAGCACGUCCUCCUCGGCAGAGAGGGCUGGACUAGACCUUGGCCAACCCCCCAAAAAACUUGCGGAGCGUCUCAUGCAGGACUCCACUUUCUACUCCGGGGCUUAAGAGGCAAUAUGGAAAAAAAAAAGGGGGGGGGGGGAGGGUGGGGGUGGGGGGAGGAAAGGGGGAACAGAAAACUUUCUGCGAUCGUCUUCCGUUUUUCUGGAUAGAGGAUGCCGAGCUACUUUAAAGCCAUUUGGCGCAAGAACUGCACCAUGGAGCUACACGGAACUUUUAAAGCAGGAUGAGGAUGGAGGAACGACGUGAAUUCGUGGAGAUUUGCCCGUGGGGAUCUUUGUGCUUGCCUUACCGCCGGGACCGGGGGGGGAGAACCUCCCCCACCCUCGGAGCCGCAGCGAUAUUUAAACAACGCAGACAGAGCACAGGGAAUGACAUCCAAGGCACGACACGUGCGUGGAUAGUGACUUACGUUCCUGAAGAGAAUGAACGAGAUAUCAGUUUGGAAUUAUUCCUGGAAUUAGAACAGCAUGAGGUCUCCUCUAGCAAUCUAAGGUAAUACCACUGAAAUGCAAGAAAUCCGAAGUGAUGUAUGUACAGCUGACCAUGUACUGACAGUGUCAAGCCCAGCAAAUGUUCUGUACGCCUGCAGCCAAAAGAAGAAGGAGAAUGGGUAACCCCUGGGACAUUGCUCCACAAGGCAUGGCAAGCACACAUUUCUCUCCAAGGAGUAUUUAUUCAGCAGAACAAAAGCUUCUCUAGGAGGUGGACAGGUUUACUAAUAGUGGUAGCCCAGAAUUCUGCUACCGUGAAGCACCUUCUUGAAGUCAUUGCGAAGGAUAGGUAGUUGUUUACCCACCAACACGGCAUAACGUCAAAUACAGCAGCACUGAAAUCCCAUUUUCCUUUAACCUGGAGUGCACGAGAGGAGGUUUCAGUUGCAAUCAUUUUGCAUCAGAAUGAGCCUGAUCUAAAACGAGGGCAGAAGCAGCCCUACUGGGACUUGUACACAUAAGUAAGUCAAGUACGAUUUGCCAAGCGAUAUGCAUGAAAACUAAUUUUUUUUUUUUGCUGGAGAAUGUUCUUUUGAAAUGUUUUCUUUAAAUGACUACAGCUCAAAAGCAGCAGAAAAUGUACUCAGGUCUGAGAAAUAUCUGCCUCAUUCUGCUUCCUUAAGGUUGCAUUAGUUAUGUAUGCCCUUGUCACUUUGGGUAACAGCCUGACUAGGUAUUAAUUGAAGAUAUUAAUUAUUAUGUAAUGACUUUCACUAAUUGUUUCUCCCUUUAGAGUAUUUAAAAAAAAAAAAUUGACUGUGUUGACAAUAGUAUAGUAUGAUGAAUGGUUGUUAAGAUGUCUCUAGUGUAAAAUGAAAUACCAUUUCUGCAAUUAUUUUAGCAAUACCAAGUCAGCAUGAUUUUAAUAAUACUAUGAGUAGAUUACAUUCUUUUUUUUUUUGCCUUUUUUGGGUGUGGGAAUAUCCUUCAUAUUUUCAAUUACUCAUUAAAAACCUCCAUAAAGGCACUCAAAUUAUUGUCAAAAACACAUUUAAAAAUCCUGAAACAUAUUGCAAAUGACACAAAUCCUUCAUGUUCAGCAACUUCAGAAGUUUGUCUUGAUUUCAGUGGGAGCUCUGUAAAUCAUGUGCUGAAAAUCCGGGUUCCUAACAGCAAAAAAAUCCUGACUUCAGAAAUAUAGAUGGAAAAAGAAAUAUAUAUAUAUAUAUAUCUUUUUUAAAGAAAAAAGCUUGAACAAAGAUUUUUUUGCAACUUUAUCACAUAUUUGAUCUAGCUAUCAAAAACUCAUUAACAAACUCAGUGAAAGUCUUAUAUGCUAGUACUCACUUGUGAGAAUCAAGGUUUUUUCACAUCUUUUACAGAAAAAUGCUGCUGCAUUUUCUAACAGCUGUCUAGAUUUCAUUCUUGUUGCCAAGCUGAAGUGCAUCAGAGUGCGUAUAUAUACAGUUUCCAUUAUUUAAGAGGAAUUACACAUAUAAAUUAAAAAUAUAUGUAUAUACAUAUAAGCACAUCCCUCUCUAAUUUCUGGUGGCCUCUUCUAGAAGUAAAUUAAUGACUUACACUGUUCUGAUGUGUGUGCUUAAAGAGAACAAUAUUCUGUAACACAAAUGCCUUGACAAUUUCAUACUUCAUUUAAGCAGCAUCUCACCUAUUUAAAUUCAGUGAAAUACUUAAUCUCCUCAGUAUUUUUAACUAUAGCCCUACUCUUACUCUGUGAAAGUGCUAAUGAGAUCUCAGACUGAUUUUGGUGAUCUCUUCUUAAGUAUGUGUAGCUCAGUGGUCUUCUACAGUACAAAUGUAAAUAAUGGAAACAGUAGCGUAACUAAAAUAAGUAAAAUAGUAAAGCAGUAAAAUAAAGUCUCCUGCAAAGAAAAAAACAUACAUUCUAGAAGAAAAGUGAGUACCUUCGUUUAACUACAGAGAACACAUAGGAAUGCAGAUUGCCUUGCUGUGCUGUAUGAGUGCUCCUCAGGAGCAGCUUUGCUGAAGUUUCAUGUAAAUGUCAUUGUGACCCUGUCUAAACUCAUGGGGAUACAGUGAAAAUCACCAUGUUAACCAGUAGCACUGUGUUUGUCUUAGUCUUCCAAAAUAGCUAGUGUCCAUUUGAGCUGACUUGGAUCAGUAAGAGGUCUGGAGUUGAUGUGGUAUUUUUUCAUUUUCCAAAGAAUGGAGAUUUUUUGAUAAAAGGCCAACAGAUAUUUUGAUGAAAUAGGUCCAGGACUAGCUGCUGUUACUUCCAGAUUUUUUUUUUCUGUGUGUCCUAAUGAAUCUUGAGCAUUUUUUUGCAAAGUUGUAUGUUUUGAGCAGGAGUGAGGCUGUUCCUCACCCAGGCACAGUCCAUUCCUGGUGGCUGGGGUCUUUCUCUGCAGCGAUAAGACAGAGGUAGCUCUUAAUAAGAACAGGCACAAGGAUCUAGGCAGAAUUUGGCUGACUGAGUUCAGGACAGUCAUCUAAUUCAUUAUUGCAGUGUAACUCAUUGGAUUUCACAUCAAGUUCUGUCAAGUAAAUCUGGUGGUGACUUAAUGAUAGAUAUGUGUAUAGAGAAUCAAGUAUAUCCCACAUAAGGAUAAUUUUUUUUAAAAGCAAGGUUGCUGAGCAAAGUUCUGUCCUUCCUAGUGGUGACAUAAGCAGCAUCUUCUGCUGGCAUGCUGCCACCACCACCACAACCUACCACACUCUGCUUGUAAGCUUCAGUAAUGAAAUUAAAUGAUCCCAUGACAAAAUGACCUCUCCUGUAUUUUGUAACAUAUUUUAGUAGCCACGAUGAAAGCAAAUGGUUCAACAUGUAUCAGAGGUAAUCCCAAAUGCCUUCUUCUUGUAUCUUUUCGUAUCAUAACCAAUUUUUAAUCUUAAUUUUCUGAUUAGUAAUACUCGGCACUAUCAGACAAACUCCUAUCAGUUUUGGAAGGUAUACAUGUUACGUGAACAAUUACUCCUUUUUGUCAUCAUUUUAUGGAAAAAGAGAUAGCAUGCAUGAAUAUAUGCGAUAAAGAUAAAAAGACAAGCCCUUUCCCUGCAUAAAGACCUUGGAAAGCUCUAAAUUUGGAAGUUCUUAGUAAGCCCAUAUAGCAAAAGUUUCAUUAGGACAGAAUUGUGCAGUCGAGCUUUUGAAGUGUAAGAAUUAAAGUAUCCUUUGAAACCCUUAUGAUGUUAUUACGUACAGUUCUCACUUAUUCAGUGAAUGGAGGUGGAAGGUAAGAUCUUCAAAGCUGUAAUGCAGGUGUCUUUAUAUAAACGGAGUCACCAAUAAUUGAAUUUGGGCACCUUCUGUACAUAGUGGACAGGGCAGUGAGAUCACCAGGCUCUAUUCCCGGUACUGUGGUGGGCUUGACACCACCCUUAAAAUGUGCUAUGAACCCACCUGGCUUCUUUCUGUAGAUGGACAGGAUUGGAGUUUUGCAACUUCAAGGGAAUUUCACUUGCAAAUUGGGCAUUUAUUUUCUACCUAUGACAGUAGUUGUAGGGGUUAAUAUAUAAGCAGUAAACUACAGGGGCUAUAAAAUAAGCAGAAGUCUUCUGUGUGUGUAGAAAAGAAGGGAAUAGACUUUUUUUUCCCCCUGAAUCACAGCCAAAUGUGCCUUCCUUUUGUAAACAUCUUUUGUAACAUCUUUGUUGGAAACAGGGAUGGUGGAUUGGGUACACCAUCAGCGAGACUGCUGAUGACACACAGCUGAAAGUUGUGAUUAAAAUGCAGGAGGGAAGAGAUACCAUUUAGAAACACCUGGACAGGCUUGAGAGGUGGGCCUUCAUGGAGUUCAGUAAGGCCAAGUGCAAGGUCCUGAAUCUGAAUUGGGGCAGUCUCAAGCACAGAUACAGCCUGGCUGGUGAGUGGCUUGAGAGCAGCCCUGAGAAGAAGGACUUAUGGAGUUCUGGUGGAUGUAAAGCUGGACAUAAUCUAUCAGUGUACAUUAGCAGCUUGGAAGGUCAACAGUAUCUUGAACUGCAUCAAAAGAGGGGGGUGGCCAGAGUGGCAGGGAGAUGACUGUCCUCUCUGCUCUGUACUUGUGAGGUCCAAUAUGCAGGACUGCAUCCAGGACUGGGGCUUCCAGCAUAAGAAAGACAUGGAGCUGUUGGAACAGGUCCACAGGGAGGGCCACUAAGAUGAUUAGAGGUCUGGACCACCUCUCCUGUGUAGACAGGCUGAAGGACCUUCGCUUGCUCAAUCUGGAGAGGGUUCUGGGGAGACUUUAUUACAGCCUUCUUGUACUUGAAGGGGGCCUACAAGAAAACUAGAGAGUGUAGUGGUAGGAAAAUAGGUAAUUGUUUUAAACUAGAGCUUUAGAUUAGACAUUUGGAAGAAACUCCUCACUUAGAGGGUGUUGAGACACUAAAAUGGAUUGCCCAGAGCAGUUAUGAGUGCCCCAUCCCUGUCCAUGGGAGAUGGACAUGAUAACCUUUAAGGUCCCUUCUAAUACAAACCAUUUCAUGAUUCUAUAAUUAUAUGAAAUCAACAUUCUAAAGUUUGUAUUGUGCUUCUUUUCCCCUUUAGAUGAUCUAUAUAAUUUCCUUCACUAUUCAGGGAAUGCUAUAAAUAUUAAUAUAUGUAUAGAAAUAAAUUGAGAAGACAGCAUCUAGUGCAUUUUUAAGCAAGGGGCAGCAAGAAUAGCAGAGAAUUCUGUCUGAAGGCUGCAGGAUCUGCUCUUAUUUUCAAGGGUGCUUUUUUCAGCAUUACUUCAUAAUCUGUACUGUAAUGCUGUGAUUAAAUAGCUAAAAGCUUUGUGUUGUUUAUGUGUCCAAUACAAGAAAGUAAAUCUAAUGCAACAGGGAAGUCAUUGACUAAUAUGCACUAAUUCCAUAUCAUUUAGCAUCCCAGCUGUCAUGACACCAUGGCUUUUGCUGGUAGCUCAGCCACCGUUAAUUACUUCUGGAAAAUGAGGAUGGAACUGUUAAAUGUACAGUUUCAGUCCAGACUAACAGUACGUUAGCAUUUAGUGAAUAAAAUUGCUUAGUUCUGUUUUCAGAAAAUGUCACCAUCUACUUAGAGGAAAACAGCGGCAUUUGCUUUUAUACAGUAUUUUCUCUAAUGCAUUAUAGAAUCAUAGAACCAUGGGAUACCUUGACCUGGAAGGGACUCUUAAGGAUCAUCUACUUUAACUCUUAGCAAAACUUGUCAUUCAUACUCAUAAAAACGAGUGUUCCAGCUAUAGCAUGAGUCCAGUUCGAAAUGGGAAGUAUGUUAUGCUACUUACAUAGCCAAAUAAACAAAUCUUUAUUACAGCUGUUUAUCAAGUACCUCUAAAUAACAGGCAUAUCAAAAAUAGUUAUUGUACAUAAUAUUUAAUAUUUUACAGAAUAUAAUUUUCAAGCAGAGAUAUGUGUUUAUGUUAUACUUAAAAAAGCUCUUAUAUUAUUGCUUUAUUUGUUGUUGAUACUUUGCUCUGCUUUGUAUCUUUCACUCUGGCCUUGUAACUGGUGCUAACUUCUCCAGCUAAUUGCCCUUCAAAUCACUGCAGCAGAAGAUAGUGUGGCCUUGUGCACAACACUUCCUCUACUAUUCCUUAAACUCCCUGUUCAUUUUCUAGUUGUGUCACUUGGUUUGUUAAAUGCUGUACACCUUUGUAUUACUUCCUAAUCAUGUGCAACCUGAGCAGAUGUUCUGCUACUGAUUAUACAUUCGCUUCUGUCCCUAUAUUCCCCAAAUUGACACUCUUCAUAAUCACUUACAUACUGCAAGAGGAGAUUGCUUUCCUAGUCUCAUAAGCUUGUGGUGGGAAUAGGUAUGGGAUGGUAUGGUGUGUGGAUGGGUUACUUUCAGGCUUGUUUUACUCAUCUCAGCUUUAUUUGCAGAAAUGCCAGCUUGGAAUCACAUGAUGACUCACAGACACAUUUCCUCUCUGAAAUUCUUCCUCAGCUGACUGAUUUCUGUCAGCUUCAUGGUAGUUUAAUGAGGGAAAGCACCCUGUCGGCAACCUUCCAGGAUCUUGGUCCUCCCAAAUUAGCAGAUGUACAAUCCCAGGGAGGGCAUCUGUGCAAUGCACAAUUGGACAAACAGCACUGCAAAAGGCCACAUAGAAGUUCAGCAUUUUGCUGUGGGUUGAGCUUUGAAGCUCUGCAGCAUGUCUCUUUCAGCAGCUGGGAGCAGGAUGUUCACUGGUGAAAGACUGGAGAGAUAGACUGAGAUCCUCAGCCCCCAAGGGCAGUGCCAAGGCACCCUUCCCACAACUGUCACUUGAGAGUACCUUUUGUGUAGGAAGGAUUUUCCAUAAUAAGUUGGAUGAGGAUAUGGUCUGUGCAUCUCUCAAUGAAGCAGAAAUAUCACAAUGUUUGAAUUAUGAUAGGCUGAGUUCUUUUCUUGGUUGUUUACAUAUUUACUCACAUGCUGACUUUAUUCUGACUGAAAACUGCUCCUGUAAACUCUGGUUCUAAUACUUGAGUUUGAUAUUAUUGCACCUUCAUAGGAAGAACUGCUAGGGUGAGAUCUGGAAGGGCUUCUUUGGUACCUCAGAUCAAAAGUUUGCAAAAAUAACCUUUUAUGGUAGGAUGAGAAACAUACUUUGACUUCCUAGGCGGACACCAGAGAAAGGAGGUCAUUCUGAGGGUCCCCUGUUAGUUCAUGGUGAGAGCUCAUCUGAGGCAGCCAACUGGAACUCCCAUCUUCUGAAGAGAACCUUCCAAUGGUAUUUCACAUGCACUGAUAACAAAGAAUGGCUGUUGGGAAUCCUGCAUGAUAGCAUGCAUAUUGAGACCAAAUCUCUAGGCUUGGCUUUUCUAUAUCAUUUACAGCUUCUGUGAAACACAGAGAGCACAGUUUAAUUUCUUGAGAGUCUGCAUGUGGAGAAUUCCUACAGGCAUGGGUCCAGAGCCUGUAGGCCAGAGUUCAGAUGUGAUGGCUUGCUUCCUGCUCUGAGGACUAUAAGCCCCCAGAUUCAUACUCCUGGGCUUCAUCUUCCAGUUUUGUAGACUAGGCCCCAUACAAAAAAAAUGUUAUGAGAACAGGAGUUAUGGCUAUAUCUCACAUAUACAACCAUAGAAUGGUUUGGGUUGGAAGGGACCUUUAAGAUCAUCUAGUUUCAACCCGCCUGACAUUGGCAGGAACACCUCCUACUAGACCGGGUUGCUCAAAGCCCCAUCCAGCCUGGCCUUGAAUGCUUCCAGAGAGGGGGCAUUCACAGCCUUGCUGGGUAACCUGUUUCAGUGUCUCACCACCCUCAAGAAGAAUUCCUUCCCAAUAUCUAGUCUAAAUCUCCCCUCUUCCAGUUGAAAUCCACUUUCCCCUCAUCCUGUCACUACACGCCCUAAUAAAAAGUCCCUCCCCAGCUUUCCUGUACACACCCUUUGGGUACUGGAAGGCCACUGUGAAGUCCCGCAAGAGCACUCUCUUCUCCAAAUUGAAGAGCUCCAGUUCUCCCAGACUGUCCUUAUAGAGGAGGUGUGUCAGCCCUCUGAUCAUCUUUGUGUCCCUCCUGUGGACCCACUUGAACAGUUCUAUGUCCUUCUUGUGUUGGGGGACCCAGAACUGGACGCAGCACUCCAGGUGGAGUCUCAUGAGAGCAGAGUAGAGGGGCAAAACCACCUCCCUCAACCUGCUGGUCAUGCUGCUCUUGAUGCAACCCAGGAUAUGGUUGGCCUUCUGGACUGCAAGUGCACGCUGUCAGCUCAUGUUGAGUCUUUCAUCAGCAGACUCCCCCAAAUCCUUCUCCUCAGGGCUGCUCUCAAGCCAUUCUCCACCCAUUCUGUAUUUGUGCUUGGGAUCGCCCUGAACCAGAUGGUGGGACCUUACACUUGGCCUUGCUGAACUUCAUGGGGUUGGCAUGGCCCACCUCUCAAGCUUGUCCAGGUCCUCUGGAUGGCAUCCCUUCCCUCUAGCAUGUGAAUUACACCGCUCAUCUUGGUGUCAUCAGAAAAUUUGCUGAGUGUGCGCUCAAUCCCACUGUCCAUAUCUUCUACAAAGAUGUUGAAUAGCAGUGGUCUUAGCACUGAUUCCUGAGGAAUGCCACUGUUCACUGCUCUCCACUUGGACAUAGAGCCAACUCUCUGAGGCCGACCAUCCAGCCAACUCCUUACCCAGUCUGUUCAUCAAAUCCAUUUUUUUCCAUUUUAGCAACUGGGAUGUCAUGCCAGACAGUGUCAAAUGCUUUGCACAAGUCCAGGUAGAUGAUGCCAGUUGCUAUUCCUUUAUGCACUGACACCGUAACUCCAUCAUGAAAGUCCACACCAAAUUUGAAAGAUAUGAAAUAUGAUCUGUGCGAUCAGGGCGAUAAAUAUUUGGAACAGAGUGAGAAUGGCAUAGCAAUUAAAAGUACCUCACAGUGCAUUAGUUUAUUUUAAAGUAUGUAUAGUAUAAGCCUUUGAGCCAGGUCAUGGUGGCAGCUCUGAGUCUCCCCACAGUUUCAUCUUCUCCAGACUAAACAGGACCUGUUCCCACAGCUGUUCCUCAUAUGUUGUUUUCUAGUCCCUUCUCCAUCUUCAUUGCUCAAGCAGCUCAAUAUCCUUCUUGUAGUGAGGGGCCACAAACUGAACAUGGUACUUGAGGUGUGGUCUCACCAGUACUGCGCUCAAGGAGACAAUUCCUUCUCUUGUCCUGUUGUUAGCCACACUCUUUCUGGCACAAGCCAGGAUGAACCUGCCUCAUGUUCAGCCUGCUGAUGUCUGGUACUUCCCAUCCUCCUUUGAGAAAGGAAACAACUUUUGUCUUCUAAGACGGAAGUGAGGUUGGUGGAACUGCAUUUUAAGACUACAGAAAUUAUUGUUAUUUAGAAAGAAGCUUAAAGAUUUGUAUUUGAUUAAUUUAAUGUUUCCACAGAAUAUUGGAAAUUAGACAAAUAAUUGACCUCAUAUUUCCCAGGAAUAUCCCAGAAGUGGAGGUACUUGGUAUCACACAAGAUGGAACUCAAAUAGCCAAAUUAUUCUUUCCUUUUACAUCCCAGAAGCCUAUAAAGAACAAAGAUGUCAUUAUUAUAUAUCAUCAUCAAAAUUAUCAUUAUUAUUUUGAUUAAACUGUACUUUCCUCAGUGUGGGCUCAGUUGUACCCCUUGUUGCAGCCAAUGGGAUUUGACCAUGCCCUUCUAUGGGGGUCACAUUAAGAACUACAGCAGCUGCUUCUGGACAGAAAUUAAGGAACUGACACUGAAACCUCCCCUCUGGUGGGCAGAUACACUGAAAUCAGUGAAUUAAACUGGAUGAAUCAGACUCGAAUUUCCAUCCAUCAAAAUAUAUUUGGUACAGUAUAAGAAAAAUCUGAAAUGAAUAUAACAUGCUUGUGGGAUACGAUCUUUUUGUUUUGAGAUACAAGGAAAGUGGGAACCUUUGGAAAGGAGGGUUUACUGCCCAUAUUGAGCCUUAACUUCCAAAUUCUGAAAUGUAUUUCAUAACACCUUAUUAUCAAAAUUAAUAUAGCUAUAUAUAUAGUAGAUAUCUCACUUGUCAGAAAUAAACGGUUACUUCUUAAUCGUUACAUGUCACUAGUCAGUUUAUUUAUCCUGUUAAAAAUUGAAAACCUGAAUGUAUCAUUAAAACCAAAGAUUUUGUGUGGCAGCUUAGACAUUGGCUUUUCAUUUUUUAAAAUAGUAAUAAGUUUGUUAUUAUUUUAUAAACAAGAACAUACAUCUGUUUUAAGACUGAAUUACGUUGGUAAAUGAAAUUUUCAUCUCUGGUGGUUGGAAAAAUUCUAAGGAAAAGAAAAAGGAAAGGUCUCUGUCUAUAGGUUUUGCUUCGUCACCCUUUUGUACUCCGCAUGAGAAGAACAAAGGCUAUAUGUAUAAUGAGGCCAUGCAAAUGAACUGAAAUCAGCAGAAGUAGAGUGGGGGAUGGGAAGAUGUAAAAUAUGGCUAUCAGUAUAAUGACCAAGGAGUAGAGAAUUUAAAUGUUUAAUGCUUACACAUUCGAGUUCAUUUUUCUGUCAUCUUUUUGAAAUGUAGACUGAGGCUUUUGAAAGACCACAAUGAAAAGAAUUCUGUUUUGGACCUAAAGGAUUAAUAACAUUACUUAGCAUACUGCCCAGAUAUACUGCCCCACCCUACAGCUUUUUACCUUUAUUUUUUAAAUAAUAGAAGCCUGGUAAUAAUUAGUAGGGGUAACAGAGGAGAGGUAGAAGCCCUGGUAUUUGUAUUUGCAAUGAGGGUUUUUAUCUUGCCCUGCUGCACUGUCUGGAUGCCAGCUCCCCAUCUCAGACAUGAUGGAAGCUCAGAGUACAAUAGAAGCAGAGCAACAAUAUGAAUUACAAAUACAUGUAUAUCCUAUCGCACGGCCUUUUCCUCCCCCUCCUUUAAAUGAAUGUAGUCUAAAAAUAUCCUGUACUCUAAAUUGCUUUACUACUGAGGCAAUGCCUUGCAAAAACACUAUGCUUACUUACAGAAGAAAACAAAACCUCAGACCCCAGACAGAAGAACGUUAACGUUAAUCAUCUUUCUUCUGACUGUAAAUUAACCAUAAUUUUCAACAUUGUGAGUGAUGUUACUGUCAUUAAAUCUCGUAGAGUCCCUGCUUGUGUUAAGAGCAAUAGUAUUUUACUUACAGUGAAAUUAUAGAGAAUAUCUCCUCACUUCAAAUUAAAAAUAGGGAAAAAAUGUAGAUAUUACUUGAAAAGUACAUAUUGUGGGUUGUUUUUUUAUCAUUGUGGCUCGCUAAAAUUAAUUAAUAUCAGCUACUGGAAAAUAACUGAUUGUCAAUUAUUUGUUCACAAAAGUACUUCCUGAGGAAAUAAGAAGAAAGAGAGAAAGAAAGAAUAAUAUACCACAAUAAUAAAUUGAAAGCAUAUUAAGACUAUUUUUCAAUUUUAGAGCCUGAUUCACCAAUUCACUUACAACAAAUUGCUCGCAUGACCAAUCCAUUGAUAAAAAGAGGUUUACUCAUGUAAAUGUAGUUACACAAGUGUGAGAUCUUGCAGGAGCAAGCCCUUGUCUGUAAAUAUUUGGAAAAUACAUCAUUAAUGAAAUACAGUGUAUCCUUCUGUUUACAAUAUGGCAAUGUCCAUUUGGCAGUUGUAAAAGGUGCUAAUGAAAGGCCAUCUUAAAGACAUGAAAAAUAGCUGGGUAUGAAUGACUUCCUUUUGAACUAGUUAAAUCCUUUCUGUAGAUGCUACCAAAAGGAACACUGAAAUGAAUCACUCUUUAGCAUUUUAACUCUUUUGUGCGGAAUCUUAGUGCUGCCAAUGUCAGAGUGUGGAGCUUAAUCUGACAAAAACUUAUCAACUUUGUCAUUUCCAGUGCAUUUACAUAUAAACAAGCAUAUAUAUGUAACCAAUUCAUUUUACUACAGCUAUUUUACACUAUGGAACCUUAAGUAGGUGAAAUACUAAAAAAGGCCAAUCAAAAUACUCUCCAUAUAUCCAUAAAACCCUUCCAACUGACUCUUAAAAAAAAGAAAGAAAGAAAAGAAAGUAAAAGAAAAGAAGAGAAAAGAAGAGAAGAGAAAAGAAAAGAAAAGAAAAGAAAAGAAAAGAAAAGAAAAGAAAAGAAAAGAAAAGAAAAGAAAAGAAAAGAAAAGAAAAGAAAAGAAAAGAAAAGAAAAGAAAAGAAAAGAAAAGAAAAGAAAAAAGAAAAGAGCAAUCACACACACAAAACCCACUGCUAAAUGAUGGAGAUGCAGGCUGCCUUACAGAAUAUUUUCCAGUUCUAUCUUGCUUCUGAUUUGAAAUUCCCGCGAGAAUAUGGGCAGGCCAGAAAUAUAAGCCACAGAAACAGGGAAGAAAAAAAAAAGUAGAACAUAGGGACUUGUAAAUAAAUCCACGGAUAUCAAGAAGCGGGGAUGUUACGAUUAUGCAUUUUACUGGUACACGUUGCUAGUAAAGCCAUAAGGCCAGACAUCAUCAGCAAGAUAUACUGUUGUCUGCGCUGCAGAGGAGGAGCGCAUAUGCAAGUGUACAUAUGUACAUACGUAUGUAUGUAUGUAAGUGCGCAUGCAUGUAUACGUGUGGAAGACAGAGGGGAGAGUGAGGAGGAAGAGAGAGGUGGGAGAAAGGAAGUGAGGUGGGGACAGGCAGACACAAUAGAGCAUAAUAACAUUCCUGCAUGUCUAAUACCUUAAAGAUGCUGUGUCCCUCUGCACCCUAUUGCACUCUAUUGCAAGCAGACUCAGAGACUCAGUCAAUAUUUCAUCCUUGAUUCAAGUACUUUUUAACAACACCAACAGAAAAGGAAAAAUGAGAAAAAAGGAAAAAAUAUUCCUAGUUUCAAGUGCAAGGAAAAAUGAAACAUUUACCAAUAUUUUGAAGACGUAACACUCCUUGCAUAUCUCACAUGCUUAACCUGGUACACAAAAUAUUUAAACUAUUUAUAAUUUAGUUACACGUCACACUUUAAAAUCCAUAGCAGAAUACUAAUAGUUUCAAUUUAUCUUUCAAUAAAGACAGAUUUUUAAAGAUUGCCGUUUCCAAGUCAAGCAGUGAAGCCAAGCCCAUAGUGGGCAGCACACAUCGGCAGUAGCAUUUGGUUCUUUUGGCGUUGCAGCAGCUCUUCUGGGAAAAUGGGAAAAUGGUAUUUUUUUGUUUAUGUGAUGGAUGCUGUGGCUUCAACAAAGAGUGACUGAAUUGUCUUAACAAAGAAGGGUCGGGCUGCACACUGCUCACAGAGCAAUAACCACCCUGUAUCUCUCUCAAGCCCGCAAUGUAUGUCAUGCAGGUCUCGAGUGGCUUUUGUUUUUGACAUCUUUUGUAAGCUCUUAGUCCCCCUCAGCCCUCCCUACAUCAAAUGUCAAGUUAAUUUACAGGGCGCUAUUACGGGUGCGUUUCCCUGCGCUGUGGCUGCCUGCCAGCAGCAGCUGGGACCUCGUGGGGCAGAAGGACAGGAAGCCCCUGGCCAUCAGUUGGGUGCUGGGAGCAACCAGCAAGGGAGCUCUCUGUGCAGGGUUGAGCCCUGGUGGCUGUUUGGAUUGCAGAGCUCCAGGAGGAAACUUUGCCUUCCUCUUGUAGGUGAAAGUCUCUGAUAUUAACAGCAGCAACUCUAAAUAAAUAUAAUUCCUUAUAAAUUUAGCUUAUGUGAGUACCAGGCAGAUGCCUGCCACUUAUUGUGUUCGGCUCCUUCGCGAUGCAAAAGGAACUCUCUAUCAUAACUGCUGCACAGCAUUUGUGAAAGGUGCCCUUUUAAUUUUAGAAAUUUACUUUCCAUAAAUUGCAUUAGAUAUGUUAUUUAAAGCAAAUUAAAACAACCCUUGAAAAUCUAUACACAAAUGCAUAAGAAUGAAUUUAUAUGGGAGAUGCAUUUUUUCCAACAGCUGCAUGCAUCACGUGGUAUUUUCUAAGCAGCAUAAAAAAUGCAAGCAUCUGUUACAUAUGAGUAGGCACGUAGUGAAUUUAGAAUGUAACGUCUCCUCACUUUCGUUACCAAUUUUGGUUAUGCAUAGAACUCCAGUCCUAAUAGCUGAUAGUGAUAAAAACUCAGAACCCCACAUUUUAAUAAAAUCUUAAUGAAAGGGAGCCUCCUCUUUGAGUGACAGUUGGAGCAAUGCCUUGACUCAUCACUAAUUUAAAGGAACACGUUACAGUUUCUUGAGGUGCUGCUCUCAGAACUGCUCCUCCAUCAAUCUGGACACAGGCUGUUGGUGCUGCCUGCAAGCUGCACAGGGGCUUGCAGGAUCAGGGUAUAAGCAGGUGUAUCCCCUUAAACAUGGCUCUUAAAUCUCAGAUUUUAAACUUAGCUUGUUCUGAGCACCAAGAGCAGAGGACACAUGCCUCUCAAAGGAUGACCUUAUGAUGAGGGUAGAGUACCAUUAGAAAAUGCACAUAGGAUAGAGCCCUUGCUGAUGUCAUUUUUCCUAUUAUAUUUUAUUCAUAUGAGCUUGUGAUAAUUUUCAUUAGUCAGAGAAUUGAGCUCUUGUGAUUGCUUUGGUCAAAGAACCUCUUGGAAAAGCUCUUGGUUUGCACACAAGGUCUUCAGGCUUGGAUCCUGGUGAGGAUGGGGCAGGGCAGGCACACCUUGCCGUCUGCUGGAAACAAAGCAUAUUCUCAAAGCAAACAGAGAAUAUUCCUAUGUUUGUGACUCACUGUUUUCUGAAAAGGGCAUCUUAAAACACUCUCUUGAUCUUCAUGAAUGCAUUGACAGAUUAUAAAUCCUGCCAUUAUAAAAAUACCACAUGUGGGGGCCAUACUGCUUUGUACAGAUGUGAUGCACAUGUACCCGAGCAUGCUUCCAGACACACGUGCUUGUGUAUGUGGGAAAAGCAUUUUACACUCCCUUUGUAUGCAAAGACAUAUCUGCAAGUUUUGUUUGCAGUGUGCCACAGUCAAAUUUGCAGUGCGUACCUGUGCAGUCACUAGAAACAAGCAAAUGUAAAAUACAAGGCACCUUGCACCUCCAUGUCAUAUAAAGCAAAGGCUUCCCACUUAUUCCAUUGUUUCAGUACCUUCUGGCUGUUUUCCCCAAUUAAAUUUGAGAUCUUGCACAAUACUGGAAGACAGGACUUUCAGUGAGGUCCUCUCCCACUUCCUCAUCAGAGAUGAAGGGAAGGAUCGUGUUUAUGUCUGUUAAAAAAUCCAUAGAAAAUAUCUUAAAAAAUUAAAGAAAAUGACAAAAAAAAAGUUUGUUUGCUUUUUUCCUAAGUGCAAAUGCAGCGGUGUAUGUAGGUACUUAAGACACAGUGAAGCGCACUCUUAAAUUUUAUGAGCAGCCAGUAAGAUCUAUUAAGAACGUACAUAAUUGACACCAAAGUGCUGUGCUUUCUUUAAUUUGAUCUGCAAUAUUUUUUUUAUUUAGUCGUGUAGCAGCACAUUAAUCUCUGUUAAGGCUGAAGGAUUCAUACAGUACUGAUGCUGCAUGUUUUGUCCUGUAAAAAUAAUAUAAAUACAUUUUUUUGCAAAGUAAUUAUCUCUACGGUAAUAUGCAGUAAUUAUCUGAGACACAGCAGGCAAUUUUACAAGGUUUGUUUUUGUUUGUCUGUAAGAAGUGAGUCUUCUCAGUCUCACCAUUGCAUACUGGUGUGUAGGGAAUACCACUGGUAUCUGAGGCCUCAGAGAGCACUGCCCCUCCAUUCACAAGUAACCUGAAUAAUUUCAAAUGAAAUCACAUCAUGAAUUUGAAGGACUAGUGGAUGUGCUAUCUACUUAAAAUGUGAAGAACAAAAAUGAUCAUACGUGGUAAUUACUACAAAACGGAAUUUUUAGGUUAGAUCCAAAUUAAUUUCUUCAAGAAAGAAUGUAUCCAAGCCUCAGGGAUGUGCAACAGAUCUGGAACGUGAUUGCAGUAUGCCAUAGCUAACUGCACGUCAUUUAAUCUCUUUGUCUCAAGUCUGUGCUCAAAAUAAAAAUGAGAGGAGAAGCUUGCUAAAUCUUUCUAUCCGGUAGGUGAUCAGAUUACUGAGGUAGUUAGACAGAUCAAACUCAUUUUCAGAAGCCAUUCCAAGAAAAUAAACCUUUUAGCUAUUAUCCGUAGUCAACAUAAUAAAAUGUAAAAUAUAUACGGACAGACUUCUAUUCAUUUCUUGUAAUAAGUGACAUUGAGGUAAGACCACCUUAGGUAUAUGCACACAUACCAGAGAUAGCUUGAAAACCAAUAACUUCAUCAAGAGGCAUGCUAGUAAAGCUAGGUUUCUUUAAAACAUUUUGUUCAAAUUUCUACCAAUUCAUCCUGUUCCCCAAAGAGGGCAAGGAAAUAUUACAAAUGCUAUAGAAAUGAAAAAGAUAAGAUUUUUGUCACUCUUGUUUAAUUUGAUGCAUGCUGCUGUCCUAUAAACGUCACACUGGAUAACUCAGAAAAAUUACCAUGAAUCUGCAUAAUUAUGCAAAUUCCUGAUGGUGUUUUGCAUAGAAUGAGCAGCAGGUAGAAUGGGGAAGCUGCAGAGGGAAGGGCUGAGGACAGACUGAGUGGUCUGACAGGCUAACAGUAUUGCCAGCAUCCUCCAAACAGAUCCCACUGCAGUUCUCUUCCUCUGGCUUUCCCAGACUAGAGCCAAUUCCCAAUGCUGAUCCUGCUGUGCUUGUGAUCCAUUGAUGUUUCAGUGCUUUGCUGCAAAGAUACUUUGCAAACAUUGAUUUAAUAUGAUAUUGCACCUCCCCUAGCCAAAGCUAAUGCUCCUGGGUGAAUGAAUACAUGAGCAAGAUGCCCUUAGCCAGGCUCCAUAAUAAAAGGUGUUUUGAAUAUCUGAUUCCUGUUGAAGAAAAUGGGAAUUGUGUAAUUGGAGUUCUUGAAGGAUUGUUCACUCAAUCCAUAAACCAGAGGAAGGUUAGCCCAAAUUUGGAGGACAUCUGUAUAUAAGGUGUCUUGCAGAACUACAUCCCAGCAACGUGGCCUUUCUGAGGCAGGUUUUAAUAUAAACACAUGCUAAAAGCUGUGUGAGCAUGCAUGCCUGAAUAGGUACUGCAAAAGCAAGCAUGCUGAGAAGAACGCACAUGAAACUUUGUUAACUUUAUACUGAUUGUUAAUUAGAAGGCUGGAAAAGAUGUACAUGUUUGCAUCCGUCAUUCUGUGCAUACUCACAUCUGGAGAUAGAUAUGUGUGUACCUAUAAAUAUUUUUAUUUAACUGUGAGUGAAUUUAUACGUUCUCAGGGCUGAGUGUACUUGAAAAGAAUUAAAGCACUGAAAGCAGUUCUCAGGUAUUUCUGACUCCAACACUUGUACAUAUUUUCUGGGAAAUGCUUGAGAAGUUUGCCAGUCAUGAGGCUACUGUCAUUUUAGUUGUUGUGAUGACUCAUCUGCAGAAGGGUAUGCUGUACAUAGACUCAGUGUGAGGCUUUGCUUUACUUAUGUAUGCUACAUUUAGCUAUCCAUCAGCCAUAUGAUGCUGUUCUUGUGCUUUAAAUGCCAAUCCUCUAAAGAAAUAGGAGAACCCUAAUUGAAUGAUCUGUUUGCUGUACUGCAAAAGCUGUGCAGAAGAUGUACAAGAAAGGUCCAUGACAAACCUCUAUUUUGAAUCCUUAGACGUAUUUUUUAUGUUGGCAGACACAAGAGAAUGCACAGUGUUUUGUAUGGAGAAGUAUCUGAUUUUAAACAACAAUAUUACAAAUUCUCUAUAUUUUCUUCUUUGGACUGACAAAUUUUGCGCAAAGGUGACUUGAGAAUUGUUUACAGUGCUCAGCUUCUGACCAAGGGUGCUCUGCUGUGGAAAUGCACAAACUUGCACCAUAUAACAACCCAUAGUCGUAUCAAUACUGGCACAUAAAAACACACUCUUGUAUACUCAGAUACUUCAUUAUAUUCACCAAAACUUGGAUUUCAGUGUAUUUACUUCCAGGUACUGACUUUUUCCUGCCUUACUGGCAAAGGGAGUAGAAAGUGUUUAUGAUGUAUUUGAAUUGCAAAAAUAGGACUGAUUUCACAAGGACUCCACCAUCUGAGAACACAGUGAACACGUCUUCUUUCCUUUUUUCAGUUUUUAGGAUUGUUAUCACAUUUAAUUUUUUCUCAUUCCACAAAAAUUAAAGAAUGCAUUUCGCUAGGAGCCUUAGCAUUACAUUUUCAACAUGUAAUGACCCAAUGUCUUGAUUUAAGCCCUGCCUAAGUGAAGUGUCUUUAUGUAAUGCUUCUGCAGACUGAAAAGGAUUAUAAGCAAAAAAGCCUACUUGGAGCAAUUAUCCUGAUGACGUUGUCUGGCUCUGUGUUUACUAGUCAGAAGCCUGCUGUUGUGAUCACAGAAGCUAUAACUGUGAAGCUGUUUAUUCAGUAACUAUAUACACAUAUAUAUAUAUAUGCAUAUUAUUAGUAUUAAGUUAAACAGCAGCCCUUUGGUUUUUUUGGGGGGAGAAAGGUCGCUGGAGUCAAAUGAUGCCUCUGAAUGACAGUACCUGCUGUACAACAGCCUUAAUGCCCAUAUGAAUGCAGUUUGCAGCUACAAUGGGAUAAUGUUAUUCUGUACACAAAUAAGUAAGCUUUGUGAAAACACAGUCUAGGUUUGCUAUCAGUCACAGAGUAGUUGAAUGAAUUCUUAGAACUAUAGUUACUGCAAUCACGUACAUGUGAGAAAAAAGCAAAGUGCAGUGGCAUGAUUUCAUGGGUGAUAAUCUGUCUCUUAAAGGCACUCUGGUUAUAUUUCAAUUAUGUGGCAUGCAAAAACAACACCUGGAAGCACUGUUCAGCAAAUGCUAGGUAUUCUAGAUGUACAUUACCAGGCCAUGACAUAACACUGCAAGCACAGGGAAAUUAGAUAUUCUGUGUGGUGCCUGCAAGUAGUGCUUCCAUCUCCACAUUUCAUGUGUUUUAGAUACAUGAUGGUUAGUGCCAAACCUAUGGGAAGAAUACAAAGGUAGAGUAACUCUGUGCUUGGAAAAUUCUCACUGGACAGUCAGUAAUACUGCAUUCUUCAAUUCCCAGAGAGAAUCAACCCAGAUUCUCAUGCAUUUUAUGCUCUAAAUAAUUUGAGGAAAAAAUGGAUUGAAUACACGAAGCCCUUCCAGGACAAGAUUAUUGACAUAUUUUCAAAAUAUAUACUGUGAUUAUGUCUCCUUUCUAUACUUAUUUUAUUUGAAGGCAAAAAAUAUAUAUAAAUUAAAAAAAAAAAAUUGUCCCAAGCUGCUUACAGAAUGAGAAAAUAUUUUUAAAAAGUGAAAAGGGCAUAUAUGUAUAUGCACACAUGCAUGCACAGUUACUCUGGUAUAGAUAUACAGCUAUACAUAUGUGCUAACCUCACCAAUUUUCUAUGCAUGAGUAACUGUAAGAUUUUCAUGUAUGACAACACUGCUUCUCUAAAAAAUGAAUGAUGCACAGAAUAACAUCAAGCAUAAUAUGGAACAAAACAUUCAUUCUUAUAAGGAUUAACCAAAAAAGAAACAACUUGUAAAGUUCAUGUUCUUUGUUGUCUUUUACUAGGAAAGACAAGAAAGCAAAAAUCCACUGAGAUAGAUAGUUACAGCGAAUUAUUUAAUAAGCUUUUAAACAUAUAAUCUCUUACUUACUUCUGUAGUCCUCCCUUGAAUUGUCUCCACCAACACUUAUUUAGUCGCUGACACUUAAGAUAAGUGAAAACUAUAGCUAGCAUCAGACUCCGAAAGAAACAUUAAGGAUCCUAACAAAAUCACUGGAGCAAUCCUGCAUUUACAGGAUUGCAUUUACAAAGUGCAAUUAGCAUUUUGUAGCUAAUCUGGCUGAUGAACUCAGGAGCAGGACACCGUUACAGGAUGCCCUCAGAUUCAAGGAUGUGCUCAGAUGUGAGCUCUUUGUUGAGUGAGAGAGAACAGGAAAUACGGUGCAACGGGUGUCAAUGAGUUCUGCUCAGGCCACUGCAGAGCCGAAUGAGGUGGCCAACUCCAGAAGUGCCAGUGGUGCCUUGUGCUGAGCAAUGGAUGUAUUCCUUAGUUCCCAAAGCAGAAAGCUUUUGCAAUCCCUUGAAGAUUUUCAGUGUUUCUCCUGCUGGGGCCUGCUUUGAAAGUACCUAAUAUUUAGUGCACUCCUCAGGCAAAUCAGUCACUUUUUACAAGCUAGGAAUGCUAGUCAACCCCAUCAGGGCUGGUUUGGGAAUUCACAGAGAGGACCAUAGUUUUUGUACCUUUACUUCCCACCAUACUUCAUGUUUGGCACUGGUAUAGAAAUCUGGAUAGCAACAGUGUCUCUUUCUAGAUCUCGUGUUUUCCAGCAAUGAUUUGUAUUUUCUUGUUUUGUUGUUUUAUGAUAAGAGAAAUCAUUGAUAAAUAACUGAGCUAUACCUUGGACACAUCUAUGCCCACAGCCUUCUAUCACUCAGCUUCCCAUCAAGUUCUAUUUUCUCAGAGUUCUUGUUCUGUAUUCCCUGACAUUUUCCCCCAUGGUCUUCCUUGCUGUUUGUUGUUGUUGUUGUUGUUUUUUGUUUGUUUGUUUUUGCCAGUUUUGUACACACUUCACCUUCAGAGGCACUCCCCUCACUCCCUGCCUCCUUUCCUUCACUUCAUCUCAGUUGUUUUCUUUCUGCUCUAUCACCUUCCGUAUCCCUACAGCUGAAGACUCCCUACAUUUCUCUGUCUCUCCCACAUGAAUUUAUUUCCUUGCCUGCUGUUUCCCGCAUCACUCCUACUCUCUAUAGCACCUCCCCUCUUUGCUCCCUUCUGCCCUUGCAGCAGUACCCGGCUGCUCACCCCUGGCCUCACUCCUAGGGGAUGUGCAGCCCUUCAUGCUCUGCUUCCCAUGAGUGCUGUCCUCUCCUGCAGCUGCUCAGUGCUCUUCAGGCUGGUCCCUGGGCUUUGAAGUCUAAUUAGGAGCCACUUGUUUUUCCAUGCAAGUGCCCUAGAUGCACCUGGCUGCUUUCUUUGGUAGGAGAGGGCUAAAGAAAGCUUUUGGCAGCUGAGGCUCAGCUGAGGCUGAACAGCAUUAAGCUGUGCAAUCACAUUUAAAAGCAUUGCCCAUGUGCUUGUUUUCAACACGCAACUGAGAUGUUUAUUCCACAAGUAGUUCUGUAUAUAUUCUUUAUGUUAUGAGCAAUACAUGUACAGCAGACUAUAUUUCUAUUCCUGCAUCCUCACGUACCGCAAUUUAUAAAAACACCAUGGUGUUGUAUUUUAAUAUAUGAUGCAAGCAGGAAGCAUGCAUCUCUAUCAGAAAUACUGAUCAGUGCUCCUAAACAAAGUAUUUCAUGGCUGCUGCACUGAUACUUGGAGGAAGCAGCUUUACUAUUUUAUGAAGAGUGGUCUGUUUUCAGACAGGACCACAUACUUGUGUUAGACCAGACCUACUGAGAGUGUCCAUGUGUAGGCUAACAAAAACAAAUGUCCCAGCUGUGGGCAUUGCACUGACUUAGAAGCCCGAAUUUAAUUCCUAAGUCUCGCCGUAUUUAAAAGUUAAUGCAGCUACUUACAUGCUCUGCUAAUUAAUUCUUAAUUUAUUUAUCUGUCUGCAAGUUUAUUCUCAAUGAAAGAUUCACUGACACAAUGUAGUGGAUGAGUUUUUUUUCUCAGUUUUAAGUGUCAUGUGAAGUCCCUCAUGUGAAAACUGCAACUCACAAAGAUCCUCUGCACAGGGAGAGUGCUCACACACAAUUUUUGGUGAGGAUGGGGCCUCCAACUAGCGUGAGAACUUGCACACAGGAGGAAUCAAUGAGGUGGCUGAUUGCGUGCAGGACUAAGCCCAGAUAUAGUUACUGUGAUAGGAACAGAAGCAGUCUGCACAAAUGUCAAUGCACGAUGAAUGUGGGAAUGUGUAUGUUUGGGAAAGGCAUGUUGCUCUCUGGUGUUCAUAAAAUUUAUACCAUAACUGUGUAUUGCAAGUGUCAAUAUAAAUAUUAAAAAAUCUUCAGAUAAUGUAUUUCUAGAGUGGACAUAAUUCACAUAAACCUCAGUGACUCAGAAUAGCACUGAAUGCCUAGAAUUGCAAGCACUUAAGCAAGGUGUUGUUGACUUCCGCGAAGCUCCCCAUAUAAAGGAAGUUACCUCUUUUGCUAAAUGUUCUCAUUAUUGUGUUCUGAUAACAUCACUCGAUAACACACUUCUACAAAAAACACCACCCUUUAAACAGCAAGCUUUUUCUUUUUUAUUCUUUUUUGUUGUUGUUGUUUGUUUGUUUUCAAUUUUUGCUUUGAUACUGCAUGGAAAAAGUGGGAAUAUUCUGCAGGAAAACAGAAAAAUGUCUAGAUGUUGCAAAGAUCUUUUAUUUUUUUUUCCCCAAGAAACCCUAAAGUAUUUAAGUAAUAGAGUUCCUUGCUAUUUUUUCUCCAUGUCAGGAGACAAAUGGGAGAACCGUUUGCUCCCCAGUAACACUCAGGAUUAGUUCCUGUUUUAUAGAAUAAACCAGAAACCGCUUGUGUCUUGUAACUCAUUAUAAACUCUGUUCAUUUAUACCAUCUAUCUAAGCAGUAGCCUCAGUUGCUGUCAUUCAUAAGUAAAAGAUGAGAACAAAUUGCGGCAGUACUGAUUGGCAUAGUAAGUAAAAACAAAUGAAUUUUAGUUAAUCCUAUUUUGUAACUCAACAAAUAUGCUGUUAGACAGCUCCCCAUUCUUGGCCUAGUGGACCACAUGCUUGAGAAACUGAAAACAUCUUUGUUUCACAUCGUAAAAAUUUCUAACUAACUGAUACCAGUUUAUCAGUGACUAUUCAAACCAAAGAGAUGUACUGUUGGUCUCUCCUCCUCCAAAGUAGUUGGCUGCAUGCAUGAUGCCAGGAGGAAGAGGAAGAUCAGGGCAGCACCCUGCCUUCCUCAGCAGGAGUGUUUGUCCUCAUGUUCCUCCAAGAAGAAUGGCUGGAGCGUAACCUCUGGGCAGUGUAAAUCUGCUGCCCCAUGCCGAGGUUUCAGUGUGCAAGAUGGGAUUUGGGAAUAAGCUGAAUCUUCUCCACCCUGAUGAACUGCAAAGACGUUCCUCCACAGCCACAUGAGCUUCCUUCAUGGCUUCCACCAAAAUCCAUUUUACAAACUUGUACAUAUGAGGCAGUGGAAUUUCCUAUAUUCAUUCACAAUCACAUUACCAAAGAUUCCCAAGUCCAUUACCAUUUGCUUACUACUGCGUAAGUCUUGGAUUCACAUCACACUACUCCAGUGUAAGUAAGUAAGUAAGUCUGAACAUUUUCUACAUUUCUACCAGUUUUCCUCAAACCAGUGCAUCUUGGUAUAUAUAUGAAGCCAAAGAUUUUGUUCAGCUUUCAAGAAAGCCAAAUCAUACCAAAUCAGUUGAACUCUGCAACUCAGCCUUGCUAGAAAUUUUACUUUAACCUGAAUGCUGUGCUUUUAUGGGAAGUUUCCAGUUUUAUGGAUUGCAGUGCAACCUGGAUCCUUAAAGUUCUGGGUAUGAGUAACAUAUCCUUGUAGGAAGACUAAUAAAAGACCAAAGUGGUAUUUCAUUCUUCUUAACCACCCCCAAACCCAUUUCGAAGCAGGCAAUAGAAAAAAGCCUCAGUUUAAUCAUAAGGAACGCUACCCUGAGUCCUAAGGAGACUGAAAAACCAGUUCUACUCUACACAUGGUUCUGCUUACAUGAGAUGAUUUAGGCUGCACCAUGAUUCUGGUCCCAGAUAAUUCAAUAGGCUUAGACCUAGCUAAGUGUACUCUGACUACUCUCUGUGCUGUGUUCAUUAGGAAAAUUAAGAAAAGAGAUAGUGAUGCUAAAUUAGUAGAAAAAUGAUGGUGGCAACAAAGAGUAUUUUGCAGUAUGUCAAGGUUAUCUGCAUUAUAAAUUGUCCACCACUUUGUAUGUUUACAGGUACAUAAAGAAAUAUACUAUGAACAGCAAAGCAUUAUGUACCUAGUGCAUAUAUGGAUGUUUUCCUGUCAUCAGCAUAUACUUCUGGAUGAAUUACCAGUUCAUGCUAGUCAAAAGCAAAAGCCUAAAAUUUUGAGCCUUCUGAGUCUGAUCUUUCCUGACCAGAAAUUUCUGUUAGCAUUAAUAAGAGUGGCAAUAAUCAGCAUUUUGGAAACUCAGCAGUCCUUAGAGUAAAAUUUUGCAAAGCUCUUGAAUAUGCUUGUAGGAGAGGUAAAAUCUUUUAUUAACCUCACUGACAUGUUGAAAAACAGGGAGGACUUCAGGCUCAUCAGCUCUUCCUAGUGUCUCUGCAUAGUAAAAGGUAUUAACUCUUGCUAUAAACAUUACCUCAUGCAGAGAGGCCUUUGUGCUUGUAAUAAAAUUACUAUAAAAUUGUCUUCAAGAAUUUAAACUUUUUAUUUUUAAGGGUCCUAGUUUAGCUUCCAGUUUUUGAUGGACAUGAUCAUGUGCAUUCUUGGUUGAGGCUUUCCGGGUACAUAGUGUUUGGUCUUGGAUUAAGCCGGUAACAGUUUUACACAGCCAUAUUACUCUUCCAUUUUUUUCCUAUUUUCAUUCCUUCUGAUAUUCCAUUUUAUCCUGAAAGUCUUUAUAUUUAAGAUUUUUUUUUCCCGAUCUUGAAAUCUGCUACUGAUGAAAUCAGUGAGACCUAUGUCACUGAUGUCUGAACAAGAACAACAAAGACAUGAUAUUGACAGAAUAUAUCAAGCAGAGGUUUUCUUGUGAUUUUAAAGGCUAAUUCAUGCAUCAUUUUAUUUUAAAAAUCAAACCUGACUCUUCACUGAAGCAACUUGUUUGCACUCUUCUAAUUUGUACACAAGGAAUAAGCACCAUAACGUAUAAUUUUUCACACGAGGCCACUCGUUAAUAAAAUGAAUGUUUGGCUACAGCAGUACUGCAAAAAUAAUUUUUGGCCUUUUGUGAAUGAAAGAGAGGAAAAAUCUGUAUUUAAUGGCUGCUGAUAGCUCUGACGUUCUGACACAGUGAUGUGAAUUAUGUCACAAAUGAAGCUUUCUAGUUUUCUGUCCCUUUCUUGACUAAGAAACCUAUAUCUGUCCUCAAUCAUAUUACCAAUUGUUUUUAUGUUUGCUGUAGCCUGCACCAAAUCCUACUCAUAUACUGUAGGAGGAAGGCUAAUUCGCAAUAGUAAAAAAUCAGACUGCUAAAGCACAGGCUGAACCUAGACUAGACUGCAGUGUUUUUGCAAUUGUGAUAGGUGCAUUUUGUGUUGUUUUAAUGUUUUAAUUACGAUACCUGGUUCUUUAGAUAAACAAAUCAUUAUUAAGACAGAAAAGACUUGCUGGUAUAAUUUCAUUUUACCUUUCAGCAGCAUGCUGCCAAACCAAGCAGUUUGCUAAGAAGGUCUGAAGAUAAUAUUCUGUUCUUGCAGAUUUAAAAAAAAAAAAGGAGUGGGGUAGAAGUGAAGUGAAAAAGCAAAGGGGGUGGGAACAUCUUACCAGCCUAAUAGUGCUAUCUUUUAUGCUGAGACCAUCUUUGAGUUCAUUUUCAAUCCAGAAUGAGAAUUAUUUGAUAGGCUCACUCAGUAAUUAGCAAGAUCUAUAAUGACUAGAACUGAUUCUCUUCUUUUGUGGAAUCCAAGAAACUGAGUGCCUCUGCUCACAGCAGAUAGUUAGGCAGACUGCAACUGACUGGCUUUGUCACAGCAAUACUUCUACUGCCUAGAAAGAAAAAGGAAAGCUAUCACUACAUUAAUAGCUAGGUUCAUGUGUAAAGUAAUUUCCUGAAGGGGCAGAAGCGGUGUUGUAUUGCUACAUUUGGUUGUCUAUGUUGUUGUUGUCAACAAAUGCAACUGAAUGUAUGGAUCUGUGGUGGACAUAGACAAGCAGUACAGAGUACUUUAGAAUGGGCUCAAAACUUAGCUUAUUUUUAAUAGUCACACAAUUUGCCAGCUAUAAAUAAUUCUAGCUCUUUCUGGCAAUCCUGUAGCAGGCUGCUGUGCUGGCGACUUCCGUGUUUUGGUCUUGUUUAUCGUUUGGCUCUUUUCUGAUGGUUAGCAAAAGAGACACUUUCAGGUUCUGUUCAAGGAACCUCAGGGCUCUCUCCUGGCAUUUCAGCCUAAUGGAAUUAAGCCUGACAUGUUUCAACUCUAUUUCUUUAUAAAAUAAACAUAAAACAAUGGUCUAGAUUUCUAAUAAAACUCUUGAACCAUGCAAGAUUCAAGCUUUCCCUGCUCCUUUACACCUCUGUCAAUGAAGACCAUAAUGGGGGAGUACAACGGGAUAAAUCAACAUGAAUCUGAAAUCCACUGCAGCAUAUUAAAUGGCACGGUCUCGCUGAAAGAAAGGGCGACCCUGCAGCUCCUUGCAGUUUGAAGCUAAUUGUUUUUGUCAGGAUGGGAACGUCUGGAAGUCCAUGGCAGCAUCCCACCAGCAAGGCUUCAGUAACUGAGCCAGCCUGCGGAGAAUGAGCCCACUUUGUAGCGACGCAGCGGGCUCAGACACCACCUAUUCUGUUCUCCAAACUGUCAUGCAUAACAACUUCAUUGUGCUAAAUUGAACUUGAAAGCAACCAAAGGCUAUGAGAAGGAGAGGCUAUGAGAAAAGCGUUCUGUCAGCGCUGGCAAAGGCUGACCUGGAAAGUAGGCUCAGAGACAGGAGAAUAAAAGACCAGGGCCUAUGAACACCACAUAUUGUUUCAUUUUAAAGUAUGAUUCCCAUACCAGCAAAAGUAGCAAAUGUGAUGUAAAUUUAUUUAAAUGGAUUCCACCGCUUAAAAGUUUGCUUGCCUCUCUUAUCCAAGUUUCCCAGCUCUCUGAUUCGUUACUUACAGUGGGAAUAUAAUGACAUACAGUCAUCAUUGUAACAGCUUCUUUGCAGGGGCACAAUGAUGAUUAAUAGUUGGCAGCAAAUUUUCACAUGGGCUCUGAAGCACUAUAGCGUUAAGCAGCCGAACACUCCCAAAUCCCCCUUUUCUGUUCCCCUGAAAAGUCCUCUCCUUGUACCUUGCAGAUAUGAACAAAGCCUAUCUUAAUUCCAAUCAGCUUUUCCUCAUUCAAAGAAACUUUCUCUUUUCAUAAUUGAUUCUUAUGCAUUUUUUUUUGCAGCCUUUCUCUUAGCCUGUGAAUUUUUAUUGUAAUUUUUUUUUUUUUUUUUUUCAGGAGAAGGUAGGAAAUCAUUUCAGAAAUAAUUUGUUUAGCUUUGUUUUCCCUUCCAAAAUAUACUCCAAGACAUUUCCCAGCAAGCUGAGCUACAUAUAUAAGAAAGAAUCAAAAACCAGAAGGCUGACAAAGAGGCCUUAGCUUUCCCUGUGUUGAAGGAUGAUUAGCCUGGAGCACAGAGGGAUGAGCUCGGAGAAACAGCUCUGGUAAAGUGAGGCAAAGACUGGAGAGCUACAGCAAUAAGCUGAUUUUAUUUAUUGCAUCAGUUCUCAUUCCCAUGAUAAAUUUACAAAUAAAACUGAAAUGGACUUAUUUUCCUGUGCAGAACUAUUUCAAAUAUAAGAUAUCUUUGAAUAGAAAUAUUUUAUCAGAAAUACUUAGAAAUACUUGAUUUUUCUUUUGGUGUUUAUUCACUGACAUGAAUUUGCUGGCUUUCCACAAACAUCCUUUCUACAGUGACAGAUUAGAAGCACUUUGGGAGCUGAUUCAGUCUUCCCUUCAUCAGUUUCAUGUAUUACCGCACCUGGACAGAAUUACACUCGAUUUGCCCCGGAACGAACAGAAUGAUCAGAAAAAUUCUGUCUUGAUUUUCAUUUGGGAAAACAUUUUUAAAGACAGAGAAAAAUCUCAAAGCAAUAUUGGAAAGCUAAACAUCAGUCUGUUUUUCUCUCCGUGCGGAAGAAACUGUUACCAUUCUAUAGUUUCACAUACAGAUCAUAUACUGCUAAUGUCUCACCGAUGAUACGCUUUGUGCAUUAUUGGUGUUCUGCUAAUGAACUGCUGUACACUAAAUUUGAUCUGUCCAAUGUCAGAAAGUAUUUCCUGGCCAUUAACAUAUCCAACAUAAUGCAGAAAAGAAUGAGUUUUGAAAUUAACUUAAUAUCUAGGAAUUAAUAGUGUUUCCUUUAAUGGCUUCAUACAGUAGGUGAGAUGAGGAAAUAAAUGCGUAUAGCAUCAACCUUCUCCUUUAUGUGCUUUAACAGAGCGCUCUAUUCAGGUCGCCCAUAAAUUUAGCAGAUUUAUUUGUCAAAAGAGGAUAAAUUUUCCUCCUAGUUUUACUCCCAAACUGUUCUUUUGAAAAAAAUAUAAACUAACUGGGAACGUUUCCAAUUAUUUGUCAUCUUUGGAAAAUUUUCAUUCAGUUCAUUUUGUUUCAGUUUUCAGUGAGACAAAACAGAAGACUGGUUUAAUGAUUUCCACUGAAAAUAUCUUAAGGUUGCUUAGGAAAUAGCACUACAUAUCAAAAUCUCUCAGGAGAUCAAAUUCUGACUCAAUUUCUCCGUGCUGCAGAGCUUUGCAAGCAGGUCUGCCACUUUUUUUUUGUAAUCUUUCUGAGAUUUUUACCCUGGUGUAACUUAGCAGAGUUACAUAUGAUUUAAUACACGUGACCCAAGGCUUGAAUCAGGCUCAUGGGAAUUUUGUCAAGUAUUAUUGAUGCUCAGUGAAGUAAAGGUUGCAUCACAAAGGUGAGAUUCCUCUGCUGUAUCACUGGGUGACACUUCUUUCGUUUAACUGGGAGAUAUAUCACAUUCAAGAAAGCCUUUCUUUGUUUUCUACAAGCGUUUUCACUUUGCACUGUUUUGCAAUUUGACGGAAGGAGUUAAAAAUAAUGUAAAUUCUAACAUAUAUUGGUAGCUGGCACUGAAUGAUACUUACAUUCCAUUAUUUAAGAGGGACGAUCGCAGAAAAUAUUCCUGGAGGAGCAGGAACCUAAAAUUACAUAUGGAUGAGAGUGUUUUGUUCUCAGGUUUAUGGACCACGAGUUCCGAAGGUAGAGUCACAAAUCUGCCCCCCAUCCCUGCCCACAGCAGAACUCUGGGUUCGAAGCAAAAUGUGUAAAAUAUUAUGCAGCCAGUGAACUCCCCAUUGAUUAUGCAUCUGAAAAGCAUGACGAGUGUUGUUAUUUCUGCAAACACAUAGAAUGCAUGCACAAUCCUGAUAGUCUCAAGCAGUGGAAUGCAAAUAACUGGCAUGUGAGACUAAAAUCUCAGAUGACAUACCCCUUUCAGGAAGUGUCAGCAUGAGCACAUUCAACACACCAACAUGGUCAUGCAUUGUAAUGCACCUUUUGGAGGACAGCAGAGUCCCAGCACAGCCAGGGUUUUACAGAAAAGAGGCUUGCAGAAGUGCAUUUGUUCAUUCUUGUUUCACAGAAUGUAGCUUUAUGUAACUACAGUUUUAGACUGGAAAACUUCUUUUACCAAAAGCCUCUGGUGGUUUCUGGGCACAGGUCAUACCACAUAAUUUGCUGAAAAUAUUAGAUGGAUCCAACCCAAGAGCAUGGCCAAAUAUUCACAAUCAUGCAGAGGCCUAGCUCUAAAUCUCAGGCCCAUGUCUCCAAUGUACUUUACCUUGUAUCUUCCUCUGUAUUGUGAGCUUCCCACCCACAGGCUUCAGCUGUCUUUCCUCAUUUCAGACUGCAUCCACUCCCACUCCACCAGCAGUCUUGAGAUAUUUUGAUAGGCAUCAACUCUCCAAGGUUUCAUAGACAACACCACAUACCUGACCAGCACAGUGAUUGCAAUUACACAUAUUGAAUCUAGGAAAAUUCUGAAGUAGGCUUAGCUGAAUUUAGUCAAAAAAGAGUCUAAUUCUACUAUCUUUGCUUAUGCUGAGUAACCCACCUCAAGUCUUCAGAGGAAAACUGCUGCUGAAUAGGACUCACCGCUUUUUGUGAUUUGGUAGCAAAAAGUUCACAUUUCUUUUCCACUUUAACUUGUACUUCGUAAAUAUAUUCCUUCCCUCUUUCCACUUUCAGCCUCAUCAAACUUUCUUACAUAUUUUUUCCCCAAAGCUGCUUCCUCACAUGCUUCUUCUCUUUCCUCUGUCAUUUUUUCCUCCAAUCCAGAAAAUUCUGAUUAUUGCUCUCUGUGCAGAUACCUGCACUCCUGCGUAAUCUUCCUUUCUUCUGCCGAGUGCUAUGCCAUCAUAAUCCUGUUUUUGUUUUUUUUUUUUUUCUGUUUCUUUUCUUUUUUUAAUUAAAUUUCAUCUUUAUGCUUUGGUUCUUCAUUGCAGCCUUACAGCUCAUUUCCUCUUUUAUAGUUUGAUGACAGCUCAUGCUCUCCAUUUUCAGUGGUUUGUAUUGCCUUUUUAAGAUCACACCACUGUGAAGCUGUGCUACACUCUCUGUGCAUUGAAGAUCACAGACCUAAUGUGCUUAUUAAAUGGUGUAAUUCUGCCCAUGUGGACUUACUUUCAUAAGGAGGAAUAAGCAAGUUCUGUAUAGUCCUUCAGUUCUGCAUAAAUCAACUUGUCUCAUUCCAGAUUUACACAGUUGCAUAUUUCCAAGUUAUUCUGUUUUAUUAUCCAGUUCCACAUCACUACUUGUUUUCUCUGUGAGCUAUCAACCUUGUGAUGAAGCUGGAUUAAAUAUUUGGAUUAAAACUGCAACAAAACUGCUAACCAAAUGCAUUUAAUUGUCUUGGGUAAAAAGGCUAUGAAUGUAUUGGCAUUACAUUUUGUGCUUAGCUUCAGCUGCAACAGUUCUUGUUGAACAAAGAAACCAAAUACUGCGAAGAAAAACCACUUCAUUUCAAAGUUUACCAAAUUAUCCACAUAACAACUUUUACUUUUAAGUAUGAGCUCUGAAAGAAUUAUAAGAAAUAGAAAUGUCUUGCAGAAGGCUACCCCCAGAACCCCAUCUGCCAUUUUCUGAUUUUUAUUUUUGCCCCAGGGUUUCUGUGUAUUAGUUAGGUCAUCAGCAAGAGUAAUAAAUCAUAAGUAUCAUUAGUAUCAUAGACACAGAUAUCCUGUGACAUCAUGUUUCUUGAAUUAUUCUUCUGGUCCCUUGCUGACAAUUUCUCUUAAUUGCUGUGAAGGCGGUCUGUGCUUUCUGUCUUGAACGUGCCAGUUCCUGUUUUCUCUCUGUCUCACCUUUAACCUUUAACUUUCAGACUCUCAUGGAUCACCAGUCAUUGUAUGCUUAUCCAAUAAAGAGCUAUCUCAGAAAGGAGUCUCCUCCUAAGCAUAAUACAUCUUAUUCCUCCAGUCUCUUCAGCAAACCGUCCUCAAAGAGAAGCACUUUGUACUCUUUGGAAAAUAAAGAAGCAAAUGUACAACCUGUUAUAGGUAGAGUCAGCACAUGUCACCUCUUGCCCAAACAUCACACAAGACAAAGUGUUGUGAAGAAUAGGAGACUAAAAUGUGAGCAAAUACUGAGAGGAACUAUUAUGACAUGAAUCCUGCACGUACUGAGGCAAUGGAGAAGAAAAGACUUAUAAAGGACAUAGGGAAUCUUUCUAUUUUUACAGAUGAUGAUAGGAAGAUGGGGGAAACACCAGAGUUAUGGAAAUGUUUCCAUAAGAAAUUAUGUGUUCUUUUUUCUUUAAUUCACAUGAUACAACCUGUUUACGUUUUCACAUUCUGAAAGAACAUAAAAAACUUUCCAGAGAGACACUGGAAAACUGGGGAUGAUCUAGCAAAGGAGCAUCAAGAUGAUUGGAAUGCUGGGGAACUUGAUGCAUGGAGAAAAGAUGAAGGAACUGGGUUUAUUCAGCCUGGGAAAGGUCAGGUGUUUCCAUAACUGAAUGGCUGUUACAGAGAAGAACCUAUCCCAACUUCACAAGGAUGUGUGAUGGCAGGGCAAUAGGCAGUGGGCACAGGAUGCCUGAGGGGAAGUUCUAAAGAAAGAAACUCACUAUAAGAACUCUCAAAUACUGGAAUAUUUUGCCUGGGGAAACAGUAGAGUCCUUGAUGGAAAUAUUUUAGGUUUGGCUUGACAGUGUCCUCAAUAACCUAAUCCAAGGCUUUGCUUUCAGCAGAAGGUUGGAUCAGGUGAUCUCUAGAGUUCCUUCCGACCUAGGGUUCUCCAAGAUUCUGGGAUUCACUUGCCAAUGCAUACUAGAACCAGCUUUAUUGUAGGGUUCAAAUCCCACAGUAAGACAAACAUCAUAUAUAUAUAAAAAUAUAUAUAUAUAUAUACAUUUAAAAUACUAAAAUAAAACAACAUCUUUCCAAGUUACAUUCAUUUCAUGAAAAAAAGCUGCUUAACUUUUCUAAAAGAAUCAAGAAUCCAGGCUUCCAGGACAGCCACUCUCCACUUUACUCCACUCCACUCUAACCAUAUGCUGCUCUGUCAACUCUGUCUUAGUUGUAUAACAGUGAAGCAAGCAUAAGAUAGUGUGAGCUUCUGUUAAUGUAAAUAAGUAGUUUUGAUAAAAUGUUUAUUGUAAGAGCAAUCAGACAACAUCAGUUUGUAAAAACUGAAUUUUAAUUGUUUUAAUUGUAUUCCUCUAUGGCUAAUGUCAUUUGAUUUUAUCUCCUCAGCCCCUCUUUAUUUGUAUUUCCUGUCUCCUGGACUCACCACUGCUAGCUUGAAUCAUCAAAUCAGCUAGCAUUUCAAUUAGCUGCCUCUCAUUUCUCAUUCCUUUUGUUAUCAUUUGCCCAAUAAGAGUCCAUCAGUUCUCACAUCUUACUGCCAUGAUGUACUUUCAACAUAAUCUCUGCUUGGAACUAAUCUUGUGCUAUAAUCUUUCAAAUGAAAUUCCUUUCCUCUGUUGACCUCCACCCCUACGCUUUGCCCUUUCCAAGAUGUACAGCUUGACAGUCUCAUAUCUGCAGUACUUCUUUAUUCUACUGGAAUUAUUAUCCAGGACUUUUCUUUCUUUAUAUUGUUCACUCUUCAUCUUUCUUUUCACCUUUAGUAUUUGCCUCUGGUAAGACCACAAACAUUACUUUAAUCUUCCAUCUCUAAACUUUCAUUUUCUAAAGUGAUUUCCUUCAUUUGCAUAUUUUGUAAAAAUUUUAUUUGUAAAAUAACUGCAUUUCUGUUUCCUGAUCAAGUGCUGCUUUUGCCCUCUUCCCUGCCUGUUCUGCAGCUUCCUGCCCUUUGUUCUUACUUCUAUAGGAGAACUCAUUCACUCACACAGUUCUUUCCACUCUCUAAAAAAGACAGCCAGUCAGUCUAUCAAAUAGCUUUUGACAUUAGUUAGAUCAGCCUGAAGAUGAUCUCAGUGACCUCUCUGCAUCCCAGAGGAACUACUGCAUUGGGUACCAAUCAGAACAAUAAUUACAUAUUUUGCCCUAUAUUAUCUGCCUGGUCACUAUGCCUCCCUGGCUUUCCACGCAUACAAAUAAGUGGCAAGUGACAGUGCAGAGCACAAAACCAUUGUAUCCAGGUUGGUAGGUUAUACCUCUAAGACUGAUGUUUUCUCACCAUUGUGAACACAUAAAUACAACUAAUAAGAACUUGAUCUUAUUCUUUCAGGAAGCCACCAGAGUGAAAACACAUAUGUAAUUCAGAUUUUCUGUAUGAAUCACAGAUUUUUCACAUCAGACUACUCCGUUAGGUGUAGACAGACGAAAAUAUCUAUAUCAAAAAAGUCACAGAUCAUUGAAUCUAAGACCAAGGGAUUUUCUAGGCUUUAGAGCUUCCUUAUACAAGGAAGAGAAGAAAGGAUGAAAGAUGCACAAUAACACUAAUCGAUAGAGAAAAUUCUCAGCUAAAAACACUAUUUUUCAGCAUAACCACUACCAUUAGCUGUACAUUUUUCCAGCAAUGAACAAGAGCUGGCAUGCUGCGCUUGAAAAAAAUCUGCACCAGUGGAGGUGACUUGCUGCUUCACAGCUGCUAUGGCAGCAUUGUUGUUUGGAAAAUGUUGUCCAGGGAGUGUCCUUGAUCAUCCCAAACAGAUGGAAGUCAGAAGGCACCAUAUCCAGACUACAUGGUGGUGUGGUAGGACACUCCAGCCAAGACUAGCAAAGUGCUCCACAGUCUUCAAACUGGUAUGGGGCCUUGUGUUGCAAGAGAACAGCUGUCUACUUCUCUGAUCUGAUUCUGGAAAUCAGUCAGUGUCACAGUGUAAUGGUCUGAGCUGAUGGUUUAUUCAGAUUCCAGGAAAUCCAGAAGGAUCACCCUUUUCUAUCCCAAAAGACAUUGUACAUCACUUUACCCACUGAGGGCUGUGUCUUGAACUUUUUCUUCAGUGGGUAUUUCAUGUCACCACUCCAUGGACUGCCAACAUCUUCCUCUGAAGUCGUGGGCCAACAUCAUAAAAUAGGAGACAUUACUUUUGGAGCAGCACUCAUAAAAUAAUAAAAAUAAAUACAUUCCUGGAGAAAACCAGUACUCUAGAUCUCCGCACAGCAAAAGUCCAGCAUACAAGCAGAUUAGUAUGAUAGUAUUGCCUUAAUGAGGAGCUUGAUUUAGGGAAUGGAAAUGGAUGAAGAACUAUUUUUAUACAUUUAUGUAAUUUUUGUUUGCAUAUUUAGCGUUGACAGUCUGCUCAUUGACCUCCAGUAUGCAAAGAAGAAUGCUUUCUAUUCAUUGGAAUCAGUAACAGUAAAACAGUUAACACACUUGUGUGGAAAAUGGCACAGAAAUAGGAUCAAAUCUGGCAUAAGAAAAGGUAAUAAUUAUUUUUAUUGGAAUUAUCCAUAAUUAUUUUUUACAGAAAUUGCAGAGUAAGUGACUUUUUAGGAUGGACUAAAGUGAAAAGAGAUCUUUUGUUUGUUUGUUUGGUUGGUUGGUUGGUUGGUUGGUUGUUUCCUUCAGUUAUAUUAGAAAAUUCAGAUGUGAUGCAACUUUUCUUCUGAGAAGCUGGGAUGAGCUUCUUUUUGAGUCAGGCAGGCUGUCUCAAACAGUGAGUGAAAUAAGAGAACUACUACGCAACUUCCAUCAUGUGAAUAACUUCUACCAUUUGUCUCAAUGAACUUGGCAUUAACUUGAAAUACACAGAGCAGUACAAUGGAGCAAUAAAAGAAAUCUAUAGAGAAAUGAACAGAGCAAAGCCUUUUAAAGAUCAACAGAAAGUUGUGCUAGUCUUUUGUGUAUUUACUCACAGAUGCAACCCAAGAUCUGCAACAGCCUAAAUUCGGAUGGGAUUGGGCAAAUGGUUGUAGUAGCAAACCAUUGUAGAGUUUCCAUAUGUAUUUUGUGUAUGUUUUUUACUCAUUAAAAUCCUGAAAUCAUGCAUGAGCCACCUUAGCUUCUGGCUGUGAAAAACGUGCUCUGCUGAAGAAAUUUUAUUUGCUUGUUUAACAAUUGCAGGAAACAAAUCCUAUGAAAUCCUGGAAAUAAUAUAAAAAUGGAGCAUCACUGUCAAGCUAUCAAAAAGAAAUCAAACUUUCAGUACAUAGGUAAUAAUGCUACAAUCUACAAAGGUGCUAUAAUAUAUUAUGUUCAAGACAAUAUGUUAUAAACCCACUAUAAUUUCAUAACAAAGAAUCUUUAAAAAGACAACCUUUCAACAGAGUCUCAGUAAACUUACUUCGAUGAACUUAAUAAAAUUGGACCUGACUCUACUUUUAAAUCUCAUAAAAUCGCCUACUUCUUGACAUUUCUUGUAUUGGUUCAUUUCUCCCUAUGGAAAUAUACCAAAGACAAAAGGAGAAAAAUCUUGAAAUCUUUUUCCUGCUUUGAUAAGAUAAUUUCUUCAGAUAAUAUUUAACUUGCAGUAACUCUGCAAGCCAUGUAGAACAGAAUAUUUUUAAAUUCUCUUCUUUCUCCAUACUCCAAACUGUUAUUGGAAUAAAAAGAAAGCAAUUGAAGUACCAGCUACAUGACAGAGAACUCAAUUUACUGCUUUCUUGCCAGGUAAUCUAUACUCGCCAGGAAGUACAGUGAGAUCUCUGUACCUUUUAUAACAAAUAUUUCAAGGCAAGGUCUUUCUUUGAAUAUUUUAAAGUUCUGUUUCCUUUUUGAUGGAUUAUUAAUUUUUUUUAAUAAAGAUAAAUUCACUUGAUAUGAAUGAUGGCUUUUGUUUCUUGAUAUAAUAGCAUUUCUCCGUUAUGUAAAAUAUACUGAAACUACAAUUUUGUUUUCUUUUCAUAACAACUUUUCCACUAAAGUUCCUGUGAAUAAGCUAAAUAGUUCUCAUAAUCUUAUAAAUUCUAUAACUUUUUUUUUCUGCUUGUCACAUCUCACAUGAAUUGAAAAUUAUUUAGUUUUGAAGGUCUUAGAAGUGAUCAUACAUACCACAAAACAACUUAUUUUCUAGGUUUUUUUCAGAUAACAUUAUGAAACUAUUGAGACUGUGUACAAUUCUCUGCUAAACUGAAAAAGAGAUUGGUAUUCUGUUGGAAAUCAAAACAGCAUUUAACAGAGAGAUUUACCUUUGGGUAGUUUAAAAUCUCUCUGAAGUAUAACUUGUUUAAUUUUAUGACAAACUAUUUUAUUUGCUGCUGCUUCCUGUCUUUCUCAGCUUGUCUAGCAUUCUUUAUUUCUCCACAUGUAUACUAUUCUUUAGAUUUUUGUAAAUGGAAAGAGGAAAGUAAAUUAGACCAUGUCUGUGUAGAGAAUUCACUUCAAUACUCUUUACUGUUAAGAAUGUAACCAGAUUCUUAACUAUAAUAUUCGAUCCAUUUUUUUCUGUUUUUUUUUUUUUUUUUUUUUUCUGUCUGAAGUUCCUUUUUAAAUUAUAGAUAAAACUUGGUCAGAGGAAAGACAUUGCUUUAUGAACUGAGGAAGUCAUCUGGGUGCAUGUUUUAGAAUAAAGUCAAAUCUGGAACUUGUUUCAGGUUUAGUAUCUUCCACUGAAGGCUGGACCCUGAAAUCCAAUGCAAAGAGCUCACAAAUGGGGACUUUGUUCUGUGAGGCUGUAAUUGCACUCACUACUUCUGUCCCAAACAAUCAUAUAUCCCCCUCAUCCUGUGUCAGUUUGUACGAUGCUGCUGCAGUCAAGUAGUGGAAAACAAUGAGCACCUAAGCAUUGCUAAUGAAGGUUUACAUGCAUGCGAGGUAACUCUGUGGUACUUUAUUUGAACUUAGUUUAGAUUCCACUCAUGAGAUAGAGGUGGUUUUCUUGUGUAUUUGCUUUCAUGCCUAAUGUCUGUUAAAGAGUGUUAAAUAUAUAUAUAUGGCAGAUCGGUGUAUGAUUUUUUCUCACAUAUAUUUUCAAGCAAAAAAAAAAGCUCAUUUGUUGUAAUAAUUCUCCUCAGUAUUGAUAAAAUUCUAAAGUAUACAUGCUGUAUUGUAUGUAAUUCACAGGCUACAACUGGAUUAGAUCGUUUUAAGUGAUAUGCACAUAUGUUCCUCCUCCUUGCAAAUUGCCUUAAACUGUCUGUCCACGACCCAGAAUCAAUGAAAAAGAUUUUCUCUAAUUUCAUUAAGUUUCAGAUUUGAUCUAUAGUGAACCCAUCUAGAUCAACAUAAUUACAAUAUCUUCCUUCAACAACAGUAUGUUUAAUUUUUAUGCUUUCAUUUCUUUUAUUACUUGGCAGCUUAAAGUCUUUGCUGUUCUCCUUACAUAAGCUUCUUGGAUUAUGCAGUAAGGCAGCAGAAUGAAUGGUCAGCCUCCUUUGACCCACGCACUGUCCAUCCUGACCUUCAGAUAGGAUCUACCAUAAGCACUGGAAAAGAAAUAUUCAUAAAAGUGCUUGCUUGAGCUUGUGAAAUACAUAGCCAGAAUUACUGCCUUGGGGUGGAUGAUACUUCUUUCCUAAAAGGUCAUGUUGCUCCUGGACAGGAAAACCUGUAAAGUCUGUCUGGACACUGUGCUGUUAUAAAGUUUCAAAAAGUCUCCAGGAGAUCUCUGAAGGCAAAAACUCUGAUGAAAUCAUCCAGAUCUAAUUAUAGGAGAAAAAGGGCCGGAGUCUGCUAGCGCAGAAAACAGCAGCCGGCCCUGUUUGCUUUGUGUGUGCCUAUGUCCUGUAGAACCGCGCUGUCUCCUGCUUCCGUGAUGGGUGAUUUGAUCCUUGAGCACCGCCUGUGCUGCGGCUGCAGAAACGAAAAUUACAAUCUGUCUUACCUUCUUUGAAGAGCAUUCUCAGUUCUUUAGGAGGAUAUGGUAUAUCCUCCGCCUAUUUUCCUUUAUCUGGCUGCUGAUGCUGGCUAACAUUCCGUCGAGAUGGCUGAGAAAGCCUGGACCUACCUUUGUGGGUGGACAGCAGCCUGCUGCUGCUGAGCCCUGGCUAGCUCCUACUGACUGCACUACAUGGCCGGCCUCCCUCAAGUAUGUUUGUCAUCAGAGAUCUGAUCCUCUGUGUCUUUGUGUUUAAUUUUUAAAGAAAAGACAGAACCACCCUGUCCCCAGAGGCUAUGGCUUUCUUUGGAUGUUUUAUCCAUAGCACUGUGGGUAUAGAGAUGCGUUACAACCACACAUAAACCUCAUAUGAAAUGCUUGUUUUCUGCCUGCCUUGUCCCUAGUCUUAUCUUUGAGGAAUUCCUGAAGGAAUUGGGGUGAAGGUUUCAGACUGGUACUUUUGAUUGUGGGGUUAUUGUUCGUUUGAUUGUUUUGUGGGGGAAGUUGUUUCUGUUUUUAUUAUUUAUUUGUUUGUUUAUUUAUUUAUUAUCAGGAGGCGGGAGGUUUCUGAAACCAAGGGCCAUCUUUUAGAAUUGGAUUGUUUCUCUCCAUGAACUGGAGAAACUUUUCUUGAAAAUCUACAGUAGAGAAUCUGAAAAUCCUCUUGCAGUGUGUAGGAAAGUGUGGAGAAAAGAAAAUAAUCCUACAGUGCUAGUGAAUGCCUUUCAAAAUUAGUGAUCAUCUUCCUCUGAAUUUCAGAUAAUUCUUUUAAAAAUUACUUUAGAAGAAUAAAUAUAGGGAGUCAUUUAUUUUCUGCCUAAUAUUUAUGACACUUGUUGACAUCCUGAUCACAUUAUCCAGCAUUUCCUUGCAACCAUAAAGGCUAGGAACUCUCAAAUAUUUAAAAUAAAAAUGGAGAUAUCUUUUCCAGUUGUUUCCAAAUUUCUUCUUUUCACAUACUUGUUUUCCAAGGAUCUACUUCUCUUGAUAAUCCCUGAAAUAUUGUUCACCACCAGCUAAAUCAUGGAAUAUUGCACUGUUGCCAAAUAAAAAACUAGGCUACAGUCCAAAUCUAUGAGAUUUUGAUAGAUAUGAGGUCUAGGAGAUGAAUAAUAUGGAUAGAUUACACGUUAUGGUCUGUAGCCAAACCGGACUGUUGCACAGAGAUUGCUUUGUGUUCCCUGAUCUCAUACAGACCAAGUCCCCUCUGACGUGACUGUCACUGUCCAUCACUUAGUGCUAUCAAAAUGUCAAAAGGACUGUUAUGGUUUCCACUCCAUUCAGUCCUGUUCUCUCUUUGCUUCCCGUGGAGUGUAGGGGCUCCUGUUUGUUUUCCACCUGUGGGAUAACUGCACUUGCAGCAGUGUUUUUGGAGGUUGUAGAUAGCCAUGGUGAAGAAAAUAAUGAGGCCCAUUAAGCUUCAGAUGCAGUCUGUAAGUUCUGGGAAAUGCACAUUAUUGCCAUGCCCAGCACACCUGCAUCUUCUCUCCCACUUCAGGAAGCAGAUUUUCCGUUGCCACUGAACUCAUACAGCAAAAUUAUAUAAUUACAUAGGGAAAAAAAGAAAUUCCCGAGAUACAAGCCAAUGAAAAGAGGCAUAUUUUGGCCAGAGAAUGAACAGAAAAGCAUGGAACAGAGAGAGAUUGAUAUAAUGAUGGAUUUACUUGGAAUGAAAUAAUUGUCUCAUUUUCCCCAUAAAUAUAUAAAAAUAUUUUUAAGUCUUUUGUCUGAGAACUGAAACCACCUCAAGGGAGUCACAAAAUACCACCAGUCAUCUGUGCUUUCCUGCAGAACCACAGUAUUUCAGGGGCAGGCCUUUUGUUAAGCUUGUGAUGACAGUCCUAUUUGGCCUAGAUGCACAAAACAGUAGAGAUGGCAGGAUAAUUUGCUGUCUUAAUUUGAUAUCAUACAUACACCAGCUUUGUAAGAAAAGUUAUUCAAAGAGAACUAAGGUGUAACAGCAGAGAAAAAAGAUGACCCACGCUGGUAUGAUAUGGGUGCAUUGCCAGGGCAGAAUCAGCAAGUCUGUUUCUAGAUUGCCUAUAGCAGAAAGCUCCUUUUUUGUUUUUUAAAUCCAGGAAGAUGAAAUCCAGCGUGCAACUUGUGCCCAAGCAAUCAGCUGCUGCCCGUAGAAGUAAAGAAUCACUCUUUUUUUUUUUUUUUUCCAGAUAAUUCCAGUUAAUCAUGACUUCUGAAUAGCGAGAUUUCCACUGGUGAAAAAAAGUUCAAAAGAUUAUUUUAAGCAAAUGUAUAAUGUUAAUAAAUGAAAAACUAAAAUUACACGCAUUUGCAACAGUCCUUUAAGUGCCGAAGAAGUAACACUGAAAAGAAGAUUGUCUGUAACUUCUCAAUUUCCUCUUGGAUAUACUUUUUCCUUGCUUCUGCUCAUUCAUUAGUCAGGAUGGCAUGUAGGAAAAAGGCUGAAUGUGCUGGAAAGCUCCUCUCCAUCUUCUGCAUGCAUCCAGUGUGAAUUUUGUGGACGGUAUGUGACAGUUCUGCACCCCUGAUGGCUGAAAACUCCAGACAGUGAGGCUUGCCACAUUUUUUCGGGGUAGAAUUUUCUCCACAGAAUUUCCUUCAUGUACCUUUCUAGCUCCUACACUGUCCUUGCAUGGUUUAGUCUCGGCUCCAGUCCUGUUCUGUAUGGAUCCCUGCACGUUUGACCACGUUCAGCAAGGUCUCAGACCUGCUGUUCUCAAACUUCACCUUAUUCUUCCUAAAAUACUUGGCAGGGAUUUUGACAACGUGGGCAGUGAGCUGAAAUUUCUGAUGAAAAUUUGAUCGAGUUAAUGAAGUUUUAGAUUUCUGAAAUACUUCCGUAGUCAUCAUAUUCAUUUAAUUUUUCCACCUCAAACUGCCAUGAAGUGUCACUGUAUAGGAACUAAGAAAUGCAAUUAAAUGUAAAUAAGAAAUGAUUUUUUCAGUACACAGCUUGCAAUUGAAUAGUGCAUUCUAUAAUGAGAAAAGCAUUCUGCUGUACAUAUGGGAAAAAGUAAGAGUCUAUCAAGACAAAUAGAGCAAAAUUACAUUAUUUUCUCUUCUUUCCUUCCUUCCCCUUCCUCUACAGUACUCUGUAUCUGGAAGUUGUUUAUAUCAGAAAAUGAUGGGAGGAUAAGAUACGACCUCCACUUCAUAAACAUUUUAAUGUCUGUAGAUACUGUGUCAUGCUCACAGUUCACGUCAUACUAACCAUUUUUACUACACAGUUUUACAUCUUGUUACAGAUAGGUUCUGUGGCUGAGCAUUCAGACUUUAUUCCACUAAGAGACCGUGCAGACUUGUUUGGAUUGAAUUAGGCUAGAUUUAAGCCACACUCCUGUGUUCUUAUUUGGACAGUUGGGCUCUUGGAGCUUAAUUCACACUGCAGUUUGCUGAAGACUCCAUGUGCAAACAACUGAGAGAAUGAUGUCAAAAAUAUCAUAAACCAAAGUCAUAGCAAGCGAAGACUUGAGAAAAAAGCUCUGUUUUUUUCCCCUCAUAAUUGGUUUUUAUAGGUUGGCAUACUGAUGUUACAUUGAAUCUAUUUCCUAUAUUGAGAUUGUCAGAAAACUAGCACAAAGAGAUCUGAAGUUCUACAAUAGCUUUAAUGGCAUUCUAACUUUGUUGCUUAAUUAAAGCCUUUUUCAUGUCAACAGAAUUAAUUAAUUUUGCAGGUUAAUUGCACAUUGAAGUGUCUGUCUCAGGAUGAGAUCUGCAGUUGGUAACAUCUAAUUUCUAAUUUCGGACUAUCGCCAUUGUUUUUGGCUGGGGAGAAUUCCUUGACAGUGUGACAGUAUAAGUGUGUUUGCCAAGUGCUUUUCAUAUUAUAAAUAGCAUGCAUAUAGGCAACUUGUGCAAAAAUGUUAUAUAUAUUGAGUAAACAGAUAAAAAAGGACUUCAUUGAAGAGUGAUGUGGAAGAUCCAUCUGAUGUUGUAUGAUGCACCUUUAAUCUGUUCAUUUGAGGAUGUUCUUUAGCAGUCUUCUCCUGGAGUCUGCUGUUGCAUACUCCAUCAGCAGUAAUAGCUGAGCAAAAGAUAAACUUGGACAUCAUAAAAGGUGAGUCUGUUUUUCAUGUUGAGAAAGAAAAAAGAACCAAACUCGUGGAAACAGAGUUAAGCAUCUUCUAAGAGUAACUGGUGAACCAAAUUAAGUAUGCUCAAAAAUAUGCUAUUUCAACACCUAGGGGACAAAAAAAAAAAAAAAGGAAAUCUUAUCUUUCCCAUGUGAAUAUGCUGUACAUACAUUUUUCUUAGCUUAUCUUCAGUGACAAGGCUCUAAUUAUUGGUUGAAAGAAAUCUAUCAUUAUUUAUAGUAAGAGCAGUUCUCUAUCUGGUAUUCAGCCUCAGCCUUUCCCAAGUUAUACUAACAAUAAUCUCGCAGCUGCAAUACAAAUGCAAAAGGAGAAUUAAGCUUAUUAUGUCUCCAUGUCACUCUCUUCCUCUAGGACAUGUCAAAUUUACAUGGCAAUUUUGAGUCCAGCCAAACUGCUCCCUCACAGGCAGCUUCUGCACUGUACACUGUGGUAACUGCAUAGUAGAAGCACUUCCAAUAGAAUCAAGUUUCAGAAGACCCCUUCAGAGUCAAAAGCUGUGAUAGGAACAUGAGAUGAGGUUGUGAAUCCCAUCAUGAGUUGGAUGCUGAAUUGAGUUGAACUUCUGUGGUGGGCUAGAUCUACUCUUCUGAGUCAGGCUCCUGAGCCCUAAUGAGAUCUAUGAAUUGGAAGGUGCAUUGUGGCCUGCAUGCUGUGUUUUUGUGGAAGCAGAUUACACACGAAGAACUGGGUUACUUUGUGCUCUGAGUAGCUGAGCAAACAGUGAGCAGCCUUGUUCCCCUCUAAUAAAAGCUGUGGAUUUAAAUAAAAAUAAUAAAAAUAAAUGAAAAAUCUGCCUAUCACUGAUUCUUUUUCUCCUAGUUUCUGAGCCCUGAGGUUUGAACUCCAUUAGUGUAUUCUAGCUUUUGACUAGAACAAUUUUUUCCCCCCGAACAUGCAGAAUUCCUCUCCCCAUCUCCCUAUAAUGCAACAAUUACAGUACAAUCAGGAGCUGAUAAUUACAACUGAUUCAUAUGCAUUCAAACUAAGUAGUACACACACAAAAUAUUGGGGCUCUAAGAGGAACUCAGGUGCUGUGGGAAGAAAACAGAGGCAGAGAUUUUGGGGCUGAUUCUUGGUGGACUACUGGAGAAAAUGUUGAAGGAGAUAUCUGUCUCAGCUGUGGGUUAACCACCACAAAAAUGUCUGGGUUCUGUAGACACUGAAAACAGUUGGAUGUUUAUGGGGUUGAUUUAAAGCAUCAGAAUUAAGUGCAUAAAGCCAAACUGUGUAAAUAUCCCUGAGAAGUAAUGGAGAGAAGUGACAUAGGAUUGUCUAUGUUUUCUCUAAGAGACACCAAAUUGCUCAUUUUAACAGUAAUUUAUAAAUAUUACAUGGUCAAUUUUAUAUUCUGCCACUGAAAUAGUAACAAGGAGAGUUUAACAAAGGAAAGAACAGUAUUAAGAGUCUGGUAUGAUCCUUUCCUAUCUGACCUUCCUGAACACAUUACAAUUUUUUUUUUCCUUUGUAAUUUGAAGGUGUGACAAAGAUCUUACCCAACAAAAUUAAAGGCAAAUAUAAGCAAUCAGAGAGGGCUUAGCUAUUGUCCAGGUAGCAUCUUGAGAUGCAGGGCUGGGGAAGGGGCAACAUGCAUCUUUCCUCCCAGAGAAAUACGGAGGUUCAGUGUUUCAGUGUUUUUUAUUCACCACUCUAACAGUCUCUGCUUUGUUUCUUCUGUCACUUCCAGCACUGACUACAUCUAAAGUCAGCUGAAAACUGUUUUUUCAUGAGUUAUAAAAGCAAUAUUCAGCUGAGAAAAUCUCUAAACUCAUAAACAUCCACGUAUCUCUUCCUUGUCUUUUCUCUUCCUUGUUAUUCUACAAUUACUUGGAACUGUUACCAUUCUGUUUGCAUUCUGUUAGUGUCUGUUGUUUUGAAACUAAGGCCUUGCACUUGUAUUUUUUUGACGCAGUUUGCUGCAGUCCAGUAACAGUUUCUCUGUACACUCUGAUCUCAACUUAUCUGCUUCUGCGAGACCUUGCUUAUAAUGAAAUCACUGCUGCUGAGCAAAGAGUAUUGCUACAUUAGGACAGAUCCGUUUGCUUGGUUUUCGUGUACGUUAGUAAACUGUGGAAGAUUAAAUACCACAUGGAGCUGACGUAUGUGGAGCUGAUCCUGAAGUAACCUUGAAGUCCCUGUUCCAAGUUCAAGGCAGUGCAUGAAGUCCUUGCUCUCAAAAGGUAGUCCCAAGAGCAAAGAAAGAUCAUACUUGAAUGCUGAAUGAUAAACAAGGUAUGAGAUAGUGGUUAGCUUCUGUAUUUGCAAAUAAAGCACAGGCUUGGGUGGCUGACUUGUGCACUUUCAGAUAAGGUGUUAAUUGCAUGAAGAACUUGUGAGCCUGGAAUACUGGAAGCUCAGAACUGUGGGCAGGGUGAUAUUGUGCUUAAACAGAUAAUGCAAAAUUGCAAGGAAAUUAAAGGAAGAAAAGCUGAAGUUAUUAAUACCAUCUUACACUAUUAAAUGUAGAAAAAAUGAAUAUAGUUUUUGCAUGGUGUUAUGCAAUGGAUAUUAGAAGCUUUAACUAAAACCACAUACUUUUAAAAAUACUUUUUUAUGUGUUCUAUUUUAUGUCAUUUUUCUACCUAACAAUUAAUGCUGAUUCCUGACCAGUUCCUGAAAACCAUUAUCUAUAACAUUUCUACAAGUAGCUGCUCCUUUUACUGCUAAGUAAUGACUAAAUCAUAGUAAAAAUUUACGUCAACUGUUUAGAAAUUCAUAUAUAACUUUGCUUGUAAAAGUGAAAAAACAGAACAAAAGCAACAACAGGCAGUAAGAAAAAGGCAGGUGUGUUAUGACUCGUCAUGGGUCACGUAAUGUAGAUGCAUCAGCAGCAAACAGUGAAGUAUAAACAGUUCUGCUGAAAAAUAGAGAUUAUCAUCAUAUUCCAGUCUCCAAAGAUAAAGCAUCUAAUAGUAAAUAACCCUACUUCAUAUCUUGGUGUGAUGGACAAAAGAAAGAAUUUAUCUUUAGAAGUUGGUUGCCCAGAAAGUCAUUCUGACUUGAUUGCAUUCAGUAUGAGGAAAAGAAGGAAGGUUCAAGUAGAGAUAUAUAUCACCUUUUCAGAUUGAGAGUCUUCUAGGAAGAGAAAAUGAAAGGAUCAGUUGAAAAUAAGUACUUAGAAUUAACUGUGUGAAUGAAAAGUAAUGGCUAUAUGAGAUGAAUUUAGGAGACAACCAAAAAUUAUGAAUACAUAAAGAAGAGUAGGCAACACUAUGUUUUGACCACUAAACAGAGAAAUGAAGGCAGAACAUAGAUAUUAAUUUAGACAGAAAAAAAGCAAGAAAUGUUACAGGUGGGUAACAAAGAAAAUGCAUUGCAAUAAAUACAAAAUAGAAUUUUAGUGUGGAUAACUGAAAAAUCUCAGACAGUAAAAAGAGAUCUCAAGUGUCUUUAGAGAGAUGAAGAGACAGAUAAAAGGCUUUUAAAUAUUGGAGGAAGACCUAUAGAACAAAAAAAAGAUAUUCUAGGGAAAAAACCCACAUCCUAUGCACAUUGGGAUUCUAUUUGUAAAUAGCUAUGAUAAACAUAUUAAUAGACAGACAACUCAGAAAAAUUCAAAAUUAUUUCUGCUUUCCAUUUGGAAACAAUAUAGGCAUUUUUAUUAUCUAAGAAUAUAUUCUAAUAUGUUUAGUAAGUACUUUCCAGUCAAUUAAUAGAUGUUAAACAACAUAAGUCGGUAGGUUUGAAUAACUUUUACUCAAGAGUCGUGGCUGGGGAGAACAAUCAUUCACUGAUGUUAACUUUUAAUAAACCUGGAAAUAGCAAGGAAAAGUCAGAAGGUUGGGUGAGUGCUGCUGAGCCAAUAUUAAGAACUGGCAAGUGAUUCUGUUCAAGAAACUUGAGCCAGUUAGAAAGAAGUACUGCUGUGGGAAUCCAUUGGUAAGAAAUUAAAGGACAGCUCAGAGGUGAUUAAAGGAAAUUAAUUUUUUCAGACUGUCCUAGUUUCUGAGUAAAGCUCCUGCUAUUAUAGCAUGUAAAACAAAAUGUAUUCUCCAUUCAACAAAUCCCAGAUGGUAAAUGGUUUCUGAGCUAGAUAGCAGGUGGUUCUGAAAAUAGAAAUACAAAAACAUGGAUUUUUUUUUUUUUUGGAGAAAAUGGGAGCACCACUUCUAUUUAUCAGCAUUUUCACUGAUGAUGUUGUUGUGACUAAAAUCACUGGGGUACAAUGAAGUACAAUGUGAUCUGCUUCACUUAAUAAGUAAAGGCAGCUCUGACACUUUAUAUUGCUGAAUAAAGGUGAACUUUGAAAGCAAGCUGCACGUGCAAAAAAAGGGGCAGUACUCUAGUCAACAGGGUCCUAGAAGAAUACACCAAGUGUCAGACAGAGUUUCAGAUUUCUGUGGUUAGAAGAGGGCUGUGCUAUCCAUACAGGUAUGGUAUCAUAGGAAUUUGGUGUUCAUCUCUGCAUUCCACAAUGGUGAGGAAAGACUAAAAUAAAUAAUUUGUUUGUGUGGUCCUCUCAAAAAAGAUACUGGAAAUCCAGAAGACUGUUCAACAGUGAAAGUCUUCAAGAUCCUCAAUAACAGAAUUGUUUGGUUUAUCAAAGGGAACAUCACAAAGAGAAUGGAUUACAGCGUACAAGUAUUUGCAUGGGGAACAGAGACUGUGUGCUAGAGGUCCUUCAUCUACCAGAGGAAGGCAGAUGAAGAGUUUGGGGUAGGCAAUUGGAGCCAAGAGGAUUCAGACGAGAAAUUAGCUGUAACAUUUUGCCAGGGAGGCUGCUCAAUCAUCACGCAAAUUGCAUAUGGAGACUGCAGGAAAUGCAUCUCUGGCACACUUGGGUGAAGACUAAGUGUUUUUCGGAAGAUAUGCUUUGGCUCAACACAAAGAAUAGUUCAGUCAAACAGACCUCAGUGUAGAAGAGAGCAGAUUAAUUGCCACAGCUUGUGAUGCUCAUGUGUCACACUGGUUUGGUCUGAUGAGUACUCCCAGCUGAAAGCUUAGGGGAAUUAUCACAGAAUCAUAGAAUCACAGAAUGGCUUGAGUUGGAAGGACCUUCAAGUCCAUCCAGUUCCAGUUGCCCUGACAUGGGCUUGUUGCCAUUCACCAGCUCAGACUGCCCAGGGCCCCAUCCAACCUGUCCUUGAACACUUAAAGGGAUGGAGCACCCACAGCUUCUCUCAGCAGCUGCGCCAGGGCCUCACCCCAUCUGAGGGAAGAAAUGGUCAAAAGUGGCCAAUAAAAAAGAAUGGGUCAGUAAUGAUAACAGCAAUAGAAACAGCAAUCAUACUCACAACUGCAAUCACAAUUGCAAUAGUAAGCAAUAUACUUUUGAUUGUUUAUAUUGUAUCUGCAAUGCAAAAAAGCCAAAUGCUGUCAAAUUGAGGUUGCCCAGGAAAGUGGAUUACCCUACGGGGGAAAGAAAGUAAGGUGUGGGGCCUCUGAGAUUCUCCCUAUUCAAGCACUAUGGAGAGAUGACUUCUGUUUCAGCAGGGCUUUCCUGCAGUGAGAUAAGGAGACAGCUAGCUAGAUGCUUCUUUACCUCUUUGCCUCCCACAUCCUUCCACCUUACAUUGUGGUGCUGCUGGGAAGGGGCAAGCAGCAUCUGAAGACAUCUCUGCCUCUCUUGUUCCCCAGAUUCAGCAUUUCUGCAUAUCUUCACCACCUGAGCCACUCUAGAUGGAAUGCUUUAUUGGACGGGAGAUUGGUCAAAGAAACACAAGCCCAUUACUGCCUGUCAUCCAGGAAAAACAUAGUUGGCUAUGGCAUUCCAUCUUAAUAAAAAAUGUGGUCCUUGUACAACAUCUGUUGCCAGGUUUCAUGAAGAUUUAAUGUAUGCUAAUUGUAACCUUAUGUACAUCUCCUUCUCCUUGACCUGCUUGCCACCUUUCAUGUAAUUAGGUUCCACAGUGGAUUACUUUAAACUAAGUAAAUUUUUGACAUAUCCUGAAUAAAACUCUCAGGAGAGAAACAUUUUUAAAUGAACGUAGUUAGGGACUGCAGUUCCCUCCUCCCCUGGCUUCUAGAGUGAAGCAGCACCCUCUGAGGGGUCUGCACUGCUCAAUGCCUGCUGCCAUUUUGCUUGCUUCACAGCAGGGAGGCACAAACUCCAAACUCUUUUCAGUAUGCUUAGAAGCAAUGUGCCAGGAAGUUCUUCACUUGGUCUAGAAGAAUUUAGUUGCAUUUUCAUGAUCAUUGUGUAAUUAUUCUAAUUCACUGUACAUUGCUGCAUCACAGGGUUGUAGGUUUUGGCUUUUCCAAUGGAGUUUCUUAGGGGUUGUAUCAGGUGUUUAAAGGGCUGAUUAGCUCUUGCUGAGCACAUACAUUUACCUUUGCAGACAUUUUCUUUUUUUUAAAUCUCAGAUGUGGAAGAAGAUAUAUUUUUUAAAAGAAAAAAAAAAUUCUCAUGGUUUACAAAAAUAUUGUCAUACUUAGUAUCAAUUUCCUGUUUUCAGUUUAACUUUUCUGUUCCACACCUGAGGAAAAACUCUUGACUGUUUUGCAUUCCAAUGUAAUUUUGUAAAAAAAAGUAAUAUUUACAAUUUUGUAUAAAAAGUAAUAUUGCAGAAAAAAGAAACCUACAAAAAACCAACUGUAAAUGUGCAAGAAACCUUCUCAGAUCAACUCUAUAAAGUCAUGGUGAAAAUGGUUUUCAUGCAUCCUUCAAGGCAUUAGGAUUUUGAUUCUGGAUCCCAUGUUAGGCUAGAGAUGUUGGCAAAGUCAUCAGUCCCAGAGCUGGUUGCUAAUAGUUUCUCCCUAUCGAAUCACUUGCACACUUGGAGUCAGGCAGUGCAGGAGAAUUUGCAGCACCACACUUUGAGGGGAGCAGCUCUAUGCUUUAUGGGCCAUGAGCCAUCAGUCCUGCAUGACCGCCAUGUGCUCAAGCAUCAGAACUGCCUGUGUCAUUUUCUCUUUGAUUUUCACCUCUUUCCCUCACAUGAUUGAAUUUACUUUUCCCUGCAGCCACAGUUGUUUCAGAUGACUGUAGAAAUUCACAAGGGAGAUCAUUGUUAACCUCCUUUUGUCCAUUUGUUUUCCCAAGUUUGACAUCCGAGCACACAGGCAUAGUCUUUGCAAAAGGAAACUGCAAGAAACAACUCUCCUGAGCAUAAUGAGGGAACACUGGCAGAACCAGCAGCAUCCCAAACGUACACAGCAUGGGCAAUGCUACCUCUGAGAACUGGGAGUGCAUCUUGGUGCAUCUCUGCACGCCGUGCAGUGAGGAUAAUCUUGUGGCAUUACGGAGUGGAAGAGUGGCAGCCAGAACUUCCUCCUUCUGGACUGAGCUUUGCAGCCCCAACUCCUGUAAAGGGCUGCAUGCAAGAAUGCAAGGAAAAGUCCAGGUGGACACGCUUGUGGGUCUGAGGAGGAGGCACACGUGAUCCUUGACUAUUUUAUAGUACGUGCUCUCUCUGAGCAGAAAUGAAUGCUGUCAUGUUGGUGAACACCCUGCCCUGGGUUAAUAAGCAAGUUUAUUUCAUCCAUGACAAGUGCCUGGUCAUACUUAUUACUGAAGCUUUUCAUACUUACCUUUGCUUUUUAUACUUGUGGAAUAUGGCUGCGACAACAGUCCUAUUGUACUUUGGGAACAAAACACAAAUACUCAUCUCUAGUUUUCACUCUUGUUUUGGAUAAAUGUUGGUCUUGGAACAGAACAAAAAGACAUUGGCUCUCAUUUUACUCUGCUUCUGCUUUAGGAAAACCACUGGCACUCCCAAGCAGUGUGAUGCUGGGCACACACACUGGGGCAUCUUCAGGAAUGCAUGAGAAGAAAUGUCCCAUCUUCACAUCUCACCCAUUUCACGCCACGAUAAAUAUGAACACUGUCAGCCGGAGAACAACGUCUGCAGCAAACUAUUACAUUUUUAUUACCUGUAAAAACUGGGUAAAAAAAAUUAACUUCACAUCAUGCAACACUACUGAAAAUUAAGGAACUUAAAUCGUUUGCAUCACCUCUGGUGAUAUCUGCUAAAUAUUUUCUGACCAUUCUUACAAAGCAAAACAGAAGGCAAACUCACCAUGAAUAGAAACAAUAAUAGGCAGUAGCAUAGGUUGCGUGUUAUUUGAAUGGAAAGUAAUUUAUCACUUCUGAAAUAAAAGCUGUUUAUCCUCGUGUUUCGCUCUCUGUAGCAAUCUUUCCAAUUUAUCUGUGAAAAAGUAAAGCACUGUACCAUCAUUAGCAUAUGAAUGUCUGACACACCAAAUUGGCUGUAAAAUAACAGAAGGACAUUUGCUAUUGGUGUAUGCACACAGACAAAGCAGCCAUUUUGGAAAAAAAAUGGAAAAAAAAAAAAAAAAAGAGAGGGAUGGUGAGGGUGCUUAACCCGUUGCCUGUCUCCCUGGUUUCACACUGCUGUGCUGAUGGGGCAGACGCAGAGUGGCUGGAAACCCCCAAAAAGCACCCGCACUCAGGUUAAAUGCUGCGACAAAGAUCAUUCAUGACAGAUGUGUGUUGGGACAAGAAAACUGGUAUGGAAUGAGCAAUUCCAUGUGUCCUCACCCAAGGCAUGGGGCAUGCACAGGAAUGACACAUCGCCGUGGUAUGGUUUUAUUUCACAGGUCUUGGGUCAGACGUAUGAAACUAUUUCUCAAAGAGGCUGCAUACAUAAUUGAGUCCCGAUAAAAGGCUCCCAGUUGAAGUUGCUAGGCUACAUUCAUUUCAAAAGCAGAGCCAUUUGUUAUCAAAUUUAAAUUAACUCUCUCAGAGCUGAGCUCAGGAUGUGCAGAGCAGUGUGUCAGUCAGCACCAGUGCCUGAUAACCAUUAUCACAUAACCAGAGCAACAUCACUUCACAGAGAAUGGGAAUCUUGAAGGAAUUUAGGCCCAUUAGGUUGUAAAUCUUAAAAAAAAAAUCAUUAAUUCCUGAGAGGUAUCUUUGUGCUUUGUGCUGUGAUUUUUUAGGAAUCACAGUUCUCUUUAUUUUCUCUCCACCUUUUAUUCCCCUUCAAAAAAAUCAUCAUGAUUUCAGCUUUAAUUUGGAAAUAAAUAAGUAAACCAAUAUUUGCCACUGAUUUCUUACAAGCACACCGUGUCUACCAUCAAUAUUUUUUUCCUGUAUCAAGAUUUCAGCAGUUUCAACACACACAUAUGCAACAAGGAGGAUAUCUGUACGGCCUACAGUGGCUGGGCCUGGUCCCACAGCCAUGCUCCAUCAGGCAGAGCAUUACAGCUCCAAAUGUAGAAGAGCAGGUUUGGCAACUUCUGACUUCUCCAGCCAAAGGCAACCGAUGGUUGCAAUGCAGAUUCUGAACAUCAGCAAAGUAAAUACAGCGUAGGGAAAGAAAAAAUAAAUAAAACUACCUUGACAUCUGCUCACAGAUAUGACUGUGAAGGAAAAAAAAAAACCCACAAAAAUCCACUAGAUUUAUCAAGUAAAUUAUUCAUUGAGAAUUAUUUGCUCUGUCUAGCCUUAAAAUAGAUUUACACAGGCUAACCAGCAAAAAUACACCAAAAAUCAAACCCAGCAGAACAUGCCAGCCACAUGCAUGGUUUGUACACACCUGAAGAUAUCAUCACAUUGUGCAAGAAACAGAAGGUGCAGGUACUUUUGCCAAUCCUGCAUAAAAGACAGUGAAUUUUUUUUUCAGUAAAUUUUGGUUUAGGGCACUUAAAACAGUUUUGUUUUUUUUUUUUUUACCAAUCUCAAUUUGACUUUUCUAUUUUAAUUUCUCUGAUAAAUUGGAGUCCCUGGCUAAGAGUAAGUCCUACUGUUGUGGAGCUUAAUGUUAAGUACUACAACCUUCACUAUAAUGUUUUCCUGUCUUGAAGCAGAAGCCUUAGGCAUUUGAUGUACAUCCCUGCAUCAGUGUAAGACACUGAUUUCUUGGAAGCAAGUCAGCCAUGCUGUAGCUGUUGACGUACAUACCGUGAGAUGGAAUCAUGAAUCAUGGAAUCAUCAAGGUUGGAAAAGACCUCUAAGAUCAUCUAGUCCACCCACCAGUCCAUCACCACCAUGGCCACUAACCAUGUCCCUAAGUAUUACAUCUGCUUUUCCCUUAAACACCUCCAGGGACAGUGACUCCAUCACCUCCCUGUGCAGCUUCUUCUAACACUCACCACUGUUCCUGAGAGGAGAUUCUUCCUAAUAUCCAACCCGAACCUCCCAUGACACAACUUGAGGCCAUUCCCUCUUGUCCUAUCCAACUUUGUGUUCUCCAAAACUUUGGUGUCAGAAAGACAGCAAGGAUAGCAUGAGCACCAUACUGCUACAUUAAAAAUACUUAUUCCUCCCCUCUCUCCCUUCCCCUCCCCCCCCCCACACAAAAGGACACUUACUUAGUGUUCAUAUAUGUAAAAACAUAAAUCACUUGCUUAAACAAUUAACAGGUGACCUCCUCAUUAUCUGCCACAUUAGAGUUAUCUGCCAUGCAUUCUACAAGGCAAAAUCGGAGGCAGAGAAACGAGUAAAUUCUAGAGUCCAGCACUCACCCUUCUAUUUCUUUAAAGAAAAAUGGAUCAUGCAUGCAUGCCCCUAGACAGCCCUGGGUAUGACUCUACAAGAACGAACCAUUUGCUUAUUUAAAGCUCUGUGCAGCUAACAAUGCUAUGGGGCUAGUAAAUCCCACCGAGCGCUCCUUGAGAUCCGUGUUUAUUUACUGGUGGAAGUAAUGUACCAUACUUGUGUAUCCAUGACAACGCCGUAACAUGCCAGAGCAGUAUGAGGUCUUUUCUUGCUACUGCAGUAGGAGAUUAAAAGUAAGAGGCUAAAUCGUAUUAAAUAGCAGGAGCUUUUCAAAAGAUAAAACAUAAAGUUUAUGGGAGCAUAAGAUAGUUGUUCAUGGUAAUAAAUUUGUGCUAUUUCAAUGCUUUAGUUAGGUUCAUCUGCUGAUUGUAAAUAGCACUGAAUGCUGAGCACACCAGGAAAGAUAAAACUUUGCUGCUCUUCUAGGAGUUCCCUAUAGCAAGGGAGCUGUGAUUUGCAGCGUCAAGCCUGAACAGUUAAGAAAUCUGUUUUAAAGAGUAUUAAAUCAGAUCAUACUGUAAUAUUUAUCUUUUCUUGAAAUGUGUUUCUGGUUCUUUACUAUUUUUCACUCCCAUGACAAAUAUUUUGAUUAACAGCGUUAUAUGAUCCAGUGGAUUAGUAAUGUAAUUGUCAAUUUAUAUUUAUAAAUCCAGGUAUUCUCUCAGUGCAGUUGUGUUUGCUGUGCCAUGGAUAUGUUAGACUGAUGUGGUUGAGAUGUAAAUCUUGUGUAUGUGGUGGAAUUUAGACAUAAAAUGAAAAUUCAAUUCUUUAUAAGCCAUUGUUUUAUUCACUGUUACUGCUGAUUACAUUACAGUUGCUUCGAUAAAGUUGCAUGUUUUAAUAGUUUAGAAAAGCACCUUGGAAAGUCAAAGCAAAUUAACUCUCUGCAAACAAAUCAAAGCCACAAAGGAAGAAUUUCUUUGCAAGCAGAACACUUCAGAACGCUAUUUUCCUCUUACACUUUAGUAAAUGACACAGUAGGCCAAAUUCUAGCACAGGUUUCUGAACAUUCACAGACUUAAAUGAAAAAAGACUUGAUUUAAUACAUCAGACAUCCCCCAACUAUAUUGUAUUUUCCAGACAUAGUUGCAUUAAACUACUGUCCAAAGUACAGAAAUAAUAUGUUACCUGUAUUCUGAUCAUAGGAUAAAGAAUGUUUUCUGUUUUAAUACUGUCUGUUACUUGGCCUGAUCAAUUGACUUACUCCAAUUGGAAGUUCUGAAACAAUCAGUGAGCCUUAGCUGGGAUGAACCCAUCAGUGUACGCCAGGAUGCAACAGUAAGCAUCAGGAUGUGGCAGCUCUGGAAAUGGCAAAGAUAGCCCUUGGACUGCGCAGAAUGUCUUAAAGAUUUUCAGAGUAACAACAAAAUAAAAUGGUGACGAGAGGCAUGGGUUUUGUUCUGUUUGCUUAUUUUGAUCAUCAGACUUCAGGGUGAGGUGGGGUUGCUUACUUGAGUGCUGUUUGGAGAUGUACCUACACAUGUGUGUGCACGUGAACAGAACCAUGAAUGUGGGGUGAAGUGUGGGUAAGUAAUUGUUCUCACUUCCACCUGGGAUAGCAUUUGCUUGGUCUGUGAGGUCAGGAGGAGUCUUGUGCUAAGGGAACUCGCCUAAGAAAUGAUAAUUUGCAUUUUCAACACAGAAAGGAGUGGAAGCUCCUUCUGAUGUUACUCUAAGGCUGACUCAACUGUCUAAAAUCUGCAGUGUUGCAAAAGUUGUAUUUUUUAUGAUUGCAGCUGUCAUACUGAUGUGAAACUUUCAUCCAAGAAGAUGGGACACCUCCUGCCAGACCAGGUUGCCCAAGGCCCAACAUGGCCUUGGAAUUUCAAACACAUCAGCAGCAACUUGCCUACAGAUGAGAUGAUUUCUGCUGUCCCAGCUUUGCUUCACUUUAGCAGAUGAAGUAUUUUAGCCAUACUCCAUAAAAGCAUGCAAGAUGGAUUUCUGAGAAACACAUCUACAGUCCUGAAUGUUUUGGAAACAAAAUAUGGUCCCAAGUCCUGCAGUCAAUCCGACCUGGUCUUGAACACCUCCUGGGACAGUGUAUCCACAACCUCUCUGGCCAGCCUGUUCCAGCACCUCACCACUCUCUUGGUAAAGAACUUCCCCCUGAUCAGAAGACUCUAAUUGAAAUUCCUCUUCAAUGCAUUAACCAUAUGUUAACCAGUGUGGGUCUGAGUGCUCAAAUGGAUUCUUCCAACAGGACCAAGUCUGCUGAGCUGAUAACUAAACCAAAUGGAAGAUGGAAAAGCUUCAUAAAACCCUUGAGUUGCAUGUACAACCUCUUUAUUUGCUUACUCAUUUAGUUUGGUGGGAUUUACAAGUAAAUUUUAUUAGGGUAAUUCCAUUACCUAUUGCACUACAUAUUGAAAAUGCAGCUCUUCUGUUGCCUUUCUGUUCAUUUACUUGUUUGAUUGUUCUUGAUACUGUACACUCUAAUGGACAAAUAAGUUAUGGAUGUUUUAUUCUAAAGGUUCGUAAACUUUAGAAACAGGCCAAUUUCCAUCCAGUCAUAAGUUUGUAAUGGAAACCAGCAAGAUAAGAAUAUGAUUAGUAUUUCAGAUGUGAUUUUAUAAUAUUCGUAAAUUAAAUUUUAAUAUUAAAAAUCCAUUGGUUGUUAUGAACUGCAA